UCUUCUUCUUCUCCACGAAGUGUUUUUGCAACAACUGAUAUCGCUAAAGGUAGCCCUGCACACUUUCUACAUAUUUCUUGUGCUAUAUGGUUUAUUCUAAGAUGAUUAGGGUUAUUAUUAUCAUCAAUAUAGGAAUAUUUUCUGAAGAACUUCAAAGAUUCAGUUUCAUCAAGUCUUGCAUUCAUCUUGAUCUGUUCGGCCCCCAGUCUCUGACAAAUAUCUUGGUCUCUGGUUGUCAGAACAAUCUGACAACGUAGAUUUUCAUCAUUAAUGUCGAUACCGAUAUCAGUAAAGUUUAGAUCAUCCCUUACAUCAUCGAAUAUAAUCAAACUUACAAUUCUUUUCAAAUGAUAUGAAAUUAUUCCUGCUCUGACACGGAUCUCAUCUUUAGUCUUGAAUUCUUUUAACUCUUUAGUGGAGUAAAAACUACGAGCGAUAUUAUUUUGGAUGGUCUUGGUAUCAUUGUGUGAUACUGUUACCCAAAUAACAAAAAUGUUACCCCUUUGUCCCAUUUCAUUGUUAAUCUGCUGCAUCAAUGUGGUCUUCCCAAUUCCUCCCAUUCCCCACAACCCAAUCACUCUUUUAUUAUCUAAUGCUGCAUAUACUGAAUUUUUAGUACCUUCAAUAGAGUCAACUGAUAUGUAGUCGAUGGGUUGAUGCUCCACACCUUGCAAAUAACCGGCCCAACAACGCAAUCUUCUAAGCAAAUCCCUUAACUGAGGAGAUAGAAAUUCCAAACAUUGUGGUACACCCCAAUCUACCACUGCUAAUACUGCCUGUUUUACUAUAGGUAAUAUGCAAGCUGACACCAUCUAGAGUCCCCUCACUGCAACAAAUACACUUUCAAUUUUGUUAUUAUCGAGUAAAGUUAAACAUAAAGAUUAGAUUUUUAAUAGAAAUAUUCUUUUGUGUAAUAGUGUAAGAUAGUAUCCAAGUUCAAAAAAUCACGAUGUUCUUUUUAUCAUAAAAUAAACUUUCAUAUUUCGUGUACAAAAUACCUAAAUUUAGAUAUAUUUCAAUUCAUUAAAAUUAUGAGAAUUCAGAUGCAUACAAACCAAAAUAACGUUUGUAGAAAUAACUAAAAAUACAUUUUUCAUAUUACAAAACUUAAAUUUUUAAUAUUUAAUCAUUUUGAAAAAAUAUAAUAUGUGAUGAGGGUAAAAUCCUCACCAGUGUCGGACCAGUCGAUCCACUGUUUGGUCGGUUGUCAAACCAGUUGACCAACCGAAAGCUCUGGAUCUUUAGUCUUACGGUCCACUCAUGUGCUCAGAGGAAGAGAGGUCGGUUGAUUGAUAUUCUAUUCUUAUUAUGAUUUAUUUUUUUAUUUUUCAUGAUAUAUUUUUCAUGAAACUCAUGCGGACAUGCAACUCAUUUUUGCAUGUUUCAAUUAUUUCUAUUGUAAAACACUUACCUCUAUUGUAAUUGAAACACUUAACUCUAUUGUAAUUGUAAUCUCUAUUAUAACUCUAUUAUCUCUAAUAAACACUUAAUCUAAUUUGUGAUUCAUUUGUGAUUCAAUAUGUGAAAUUUGUAUGAUUGAAUGUAUGUGAUUGGUGUGAUCGAUUGAAUGUAUGAGAUUGGUGUGAAUUGAAUUGUAUUUGCAGGUAUUGAAUUGUAUUUAGGGUUGAAUUGUAUUUGCAUGUAUUUACAAGUGUGAUUGAAUAGUAAGGCUCUAAAUGAGCACCCAUAUAAAUAAAACAUUUUUUUUUAUUGUAUUAUAUUUUAGCGACGAUUUAGCGACGAUUUAGCGACGAUAAGUUGAAACAGGGAAAAUUAAAAUUUAACAAAAAGCGACGAUUUAGCGACGAUAAGUUGAAACAGGGAAAAUUAAAAUUUAACAAAAGCGACGAUUUAGCGACAAUUUAGCGACGAUCUUUUUCAAAUAUUAGCGACGAUUCAGCGACGAUGCUAUUUUUUGGCGCCAAAAAAUAGCGCACGUGUGGGAUUACAUCAGCGACGAUGACACAUCGUCGCUGAUAAUUAGCGACGAUAUCCAACAUCGUCGCUAAAUUUUUAGCGAGGCGACCUACAGCGAAGCUUUAGCGACGAUCAACAAUCGUCGCUGAAACCAAUUUAGCGACGAUUUUUGACUUUCAGCGACGAUUUCUGAUCGUCGCUGAAACGCAGGAAUCUUGUAGUGAACCCAGUAAUUAAGCAUAAAUCAAAACAUAUUGAAACUGACAUACACUUUGUCAAGAAACUAAUAAUUAAGAAUGUGAUUCCACUCUUUUUCCUUUCCAUAUUACCAUACGACGCGCCUCACGCGUGCAUAGGGUGAUUUUCGCCGGGCACGGUUCGAUGCGUCGACGAGAUCCAACCGUCCAUCCGCAUCGCCGUUGGAUGUGAACCGCACUGGGUGUCAGGUGCUGAACCUGAAACCAUUACCAUAUAUAUCAUCUUUAUGACUUUAUCCAUCAUUCCAUUCAUCAACGGUUGAAUAUUAUAAGAAUACAUGAAAAUCUAGGGUAAAUAAGCAAUUAUCCCACAAAACUAAGUCCAGGACCUAAUUGAAAUAAAACUAAACCAAGGGUUAUAACAAAACAGAUUUAACUGUUUUGUUAUAAAUGUUUCUUAUAAAUGUUUCAAUAAAAUCGUUAAUUGGACUAGAAUGCAAUUAAAAGAAAUAACAGGUUAUUACAAAAUAAGUUGUUUUAACUUGAAUGAACUUUCAUAUGGGUCAACUCGCAAAUUCUCCAGUUAUUUAAUAGUCUAAGGACUAUUAAAUAAAAUUCUCAAACUUAAGUCAAGGAUUAAAUUGUUAUUACUAACAAGUUUGGUUUUAUGCAGCAAUUAUCACAAUUCAAUUUAAGCGGAUCCGGGUCAAGAAGUAAUGAACCAGAAUCCGGAAUCCGAUUAAAUUUUGUUUUAAAAUCGUUGUAAUUAGUUAGUGUAAUUAGCUGUAUAAGUACUGGAGAGUUUGUAUUAAACAUCAUUAAGUUUUUAAUCAAAUAAAAACUAAACAUUUUUCAUUUUCUCCCCUUUCUUCUUUUCUUUCUUCUUUUCACUCCAACGGUUAUUUUCGUUUUAUCCCAAACUGGGAUUGGGCGGAAAACCCUAGGCGACUCCGGCAAUCUUCUCUUCAAUCGCUCGCCGGACUCCAGAAGACGGUUCCCUGACGUCGCCCACUCCUCCUACAUUGGUUUUUAAGAUGGUAUCAGAGCAUGAUAUCCCGGAUGAACGACACUCAAUGGUUAACAGGCCACCCAAUGCUUCCGCGAUUUCUCCUCAAAAUGCUCCGGCAGUUUCUGUUGCAAGGCCGAGCGACCCAAUUCAGACGCCGGCAGAAUCAAAUCGUUCAUCAUCUGGAUCGACUGGAAAGUCCAAAGGCAAUCAUCAGUAUGAGUUCUAUGAUAAUUCUUUUUUUAAAAGACAUAGGACACAAAGGUAUGUAUCCCCUUUACAGGACCCAGAGUCCCCUUUUUUCCUGACCUCCGGUGAUCAUCCGGGGGCUUUACUAGUUCCUGAUCGAUUGGUUGGAGAAACCAAUUACAUUACAUGGUCUAAUGGAAUGAAAGUAUCUCUAGUUUCAAGGAGAAAAGACUCCUUUAUUAAUGGUAAAAUAAAAAUGCCUGAUGACAUUGAGAGUAGAGAAUACAAUAUCUGGAAAAUUGUAAAUGGAUUAGUUCUAGCUUGGAUAUUAAAUUCAGUUUCUCCUCAAAUUCAGUCCACCUUGAUGUAUUCAAGUAAUGCACACCAAAUAUGGAUGGAUUUAGAAAAUAGGUACAAACAAAGCAAUGCUCCUAAGGUUAGCCAAAUUAAAUAUGAACUUUGUUGUUUACAACAAGGAACAUUGACUGCCUCUAAGUUUUACGAAACCUUUGCCCCAGUAGUGAAAAUGACUACAAUUAGAACAAUAAUUGCAAUUUCAGCAAUCAAAGAAUGGAAAAUAUACCAAUUAGAUGUAAAUAAUGCAUUUCUUCAUGGAGAUCUCCAUGAAGAAGUAUAUCUAAAACCACCACAAGGAUUCCUCAAUGAAGGAGAUAAAAGGGUUUGUAAAUUAAACAAAUCCUUAUAUGGUUUAAAACAAGCAUCCAGGAAUUGGUUUGCUAAGUUAAAAGGAGUUCUCCUUGAGAUGAAUUUCUCACAAACACCCUCCGAUUAUUCAUUAUUUGUCAAGAACAAUAAUGAAAACCUGAUAUACUAAUUAGUAUAUGUAGAUGAUAUUAUCAUCACAGGAAACAAUGAAACAGAAAUCUUCUUAAUUAAGAAGAAUAUUGAAAAAAAAUUCAAAAUUAAGGAUUUAGGAAAAUUAUCCUAUUUUCUAGGAAUUGAAGUUUCAUAUCCUUCAAAAGGCAUAUACUUAUCUCAAAGAAAAUAUGCUCUUGGCAUCCUAGAGGAAAGUGGACUCAUAGAUGCAAAACCAUCAAAAAUCUCAAUGGAAAGACAUGUGAACCUAAGAAAUGAGAAGGUUAAGCCAUUAACAGACCCAACCUUUUAUAGGUCGUUAGUAGGCAAAUUAAUAUACCUGAACAUAACUAGGCCUUACCUAACCUUCUCUGUCCAUUGGUUAAGUCAAUUUAUGGGAAACCCAAAUGAGAUACAUCUCCAAGUUCUAUUCAAAAUAAUAAGAUACAUUAAGAAUGCUCCUGGACAGGGAAUUCUAUAUCAAAAUCAAAACAAAAUGGAUCUUCAUGGCUAUUGUGAUUCAGAUUGGGCAUCCUGCCAGAUCAGCAAAAAAUCACUAACAGGAUACUGUAUGUUCUUAGAAACAUCAGUAAUUUCAUGGAAAUCCAAGAAACAGGACACUGUCUCUCUAUCAUCAUGUGAAGCUGAGUAUAGAGCCAUAAGUAAAGCACAAUGUGAGGUACUAUGGUUACACCAGCUAUUUAAAGAUUUAAAAUUAAAAAUCAAAUUACCAACCUCCUUGUACUGUGAUAACAAGUCAGCCAUAUAUCUGGCAAAUAACCCAGUAUUCCAUGAGAGAAGCAAACAUAUAGAAAUUUCUUGCCACUCAAUAAGAGAGAAGAUAGAAAAAGGAAUAAUCCUGUUAAAACAAGUAGGUACAAAAUACCAACUUGCAGAUAUCUUCACAAAAUCAUUGGGUGAGAGUGAAAUUUCAGCAUUCUCAGUCAAGCUAGGAAUUUACAAUGUAUAUUCUAAGGCUUGAGGGGGGAGUAUAAGAAUACAUGAAAAUCUAGGGUAAAUAAGCAAUUAUCCCACAAAACUAAGUCCAGGACCUAAAUGGAAUAAAACUAAACCAAGGGUUAUGACAAAACAGAUUUAACUGUUUUGUUUAUAACUUGAAAAGGGUUUCUUAUAAAUGUUUCAAUAAAAUCGUUAAUUGGACUAGAAUGCAAUUAAAAGAAAUAACAGGUUAUUACAAAAUAAGUUGUUUUAACUUGAAAGGGGUUUCUUAUAAAUGUUUCAAUAAAAUCGUUAAUUGGACUAGAAUGCAAUUAAAAGAAAUAAUAGGUUAUUACAAAAUAAGUUGUUUUAACUUGAAUAAACUUUCAUAUGGGUCAACUCGCAAAUUCUCCAGUUAUUUAAUAGUCCAAGGACUAUUAAAUAAAACUCUCAAACUUAAGUCAAGGAUUAAAUUGUUAUUACUAACAAGUUUGUGUUUAUGCAGCAAUUAUCACAAUUCAAUUUAAGCGGAUCCGGGUCAAGAAGCAAUAAUUCGGAAUCCGAUUAAAUUUUUGUUUUAAAAUCGUUGUAAUUAGUUAGUGUAAUUAGCUGUAUAAGUACUGGAGAGUUUGUAUUAAACAUUAUCAAGUUUUUAAUCAAAUAAAAACUAAAACAUUUCCAUUUUCUCCCCUUUCUUUCUUUCUUUCUUUCUUUCUUUCUUUCUUUCUUUCUUUCUUCUUUUCACUCCAACGCUGGGAUUGGGCGGAAAACCCUAGGCGACUCCGGCAAUCACCUCUUCAGACGCUCGCCGGACUCCAGAAGACGGUUCCCUGACGUCGCCCAUUCCUCCUACGUUGGUUUUUAAGAGCGAAUGCAAUCCGUUAUUUCAAUAACGCCACUUCGACGCACCAGACGUUUUUUCUAUAAAUAAAUAAAAAAGAUUAACUUAACUUAUCAAAAACGUUCAAUAAACUUGCAAUCAAGAAAUGAUUUUACUAAACAAUGGGAAAUUAAUUUAUCAACCUAAACCCUAAUUACCAACUUUACUGUCUAAACGAACCUAAUUUCUCGUAACAACAAUAACUAUGAAGGUUAUUAACUGUUAAAGUUCUAAUGAAGUUUAAUUUAAUUUUUACGACAAUUUAAUUUUAAUGAAGUUUCAUUACUCGAAAAUUCUUCAUCAUUACUUAAUUAUUUAGUGGAAAAAAAAAGUAGCACCAAUGUAUCGAACACGUUCAAAAAGAAAGUACAAUUUCGAACAACCAUGGCACACGUAGUGGGUGGUAAUUACCAGUCCGUACCAACCGUACGUAAAAGUGUUUAAGGUUGGUAUAAUGGAGAAUUCCGACAGCGAUCACUCCUCGGAAGCAUAUAGUCAUGGGUAGGGGUGUAAAUGACUUGGUCUGGAUUGACUGGUUUAGACCCGAAUUCGGGUCCAGAAAGAAAAUAUCUAGAUCCGGGCCCAACCCAAACUCAUAAAAAAAUCGGGUCUGGAACGUCCGGAUCCAAAUAUGUAUUUUUUUAGCUUACAAUUAUAAAUAAAUAGUUAUACAAAAACAUUUAUUAAAUUUUUAAAACAUAAUAUAAAAAUAUCAUUCUAAGUUUACAAUAUUAAUGAAUUAUCUUUUCCUUUUUCUUUGUUAAUUUUUUAUAUAAAUUACCUUUGGAUUCUAAUCUUAAGGAUAGAUUCCUAAAUAUUUGCGUCAUACUUAAUUUGGACUUGUGGUUCGUAAAUUAGGGUUAUAAUCGUACUUUAGACUUCUGUCGUAAAUUAGAUUUAUUUUUGUAAAUAUUUAAAAUCACAGGGUUAGGGUUAAUGAUUUAGGGUUAGGGUUUCAUGAACAAUUCAAGGAUUAUUUUAUCGUUAUGGCCUUAAUGAUUCACUUAACCUUGCUUGGGGGGAUACUGGCAGUACACGCCUUAGCACAUGCUCUCUUUGGGGGGAGUACUGCUAAUACAUGACUGAACGUCAGUCACUCCCAUCAACGCCCCUCAAUAGGGACUUGGGUUCUAUUCUCUAUAUAACGGACCCCCAGAAGGCUCCCACGAUUGCGGAACAAUGAUCUUCGUCAAGUCGUCGAGUUGAACUAGUGAAUCGUCGACUUGGGCUGCCAAAUUGCCGAUUUGAGUGGUAAAUCGCCGAGUUGAGGCUGAGAUCGUCAGCACUGGCCGGCUGUUGAUCUCGACCCUGCCACUAAAUCGCAGUUUGACCCCCCAAAUCUACGGCUUCAUGACCGUUUUUCGGUGCCAGCUCACGCCCUUAUAAAAGGGGUCCUUCGGGCAUAACCCAAGGCAUCAGUUCCAUCCCAAUCCAGAGCAGAACAUGGAGCAAAUCACCGAUUACACACUCUUAAUCGCCGAUUCCUCCCGAAAGAUUUGACGUAGAGCGGCGUUGUCGAUUCUAGAGCCUCCGGCAUUACCUCGCACCACCGCGAGCCCGAGUAGAAAAUUCCUUGCUUCAUCAAAGUACUCCUCCCAAGGUCGCAAAAUUUUGCUGUCUUGUGUUUUAACAUUUUAGCCUCGCACUUGUUAUUCAGAAGUAUUCCAUUUUGAAUAAACGUAAGUAUUGGUUGUCUCAAAUCCUCUUGUGGAUUAGAACUGACACUCAAUACUUGGCACGUGGGCUGGAGUAUGGAAUCCAUUAGGAUUUUGCACUGCCCUCCUUCCUAGGCUAAGGCUAGACGUGCUAAUGCGUCGGAUGAUGUGUUUUGGAUUUGAGGGAUUUGCUCUAUUUUAAACUCAGCGAAUUGCUUGGUGAGUUCUACCAUUUCUUCCACAUAUUUCGUAAUUUAUGACUCUUUGCAAGCGAACUCUCCCGUGGUUUACCGAUCUAUGAGCUGCGUGUCAGUGCGAAGGGUUACUUUCUCAGCGCCAAGAGUUCUCAACAACUUUAGGCCGUGUAUAGCUGCUUCGUAUUCGGUGACAUUGUUCGAUGCCGGGAAAUGAAGCCGUAUUGAAUGUUUGUAAUUUUUUCCAUCUGGACUAUGGAUUUUUACUCUGAUACCUGAGCCUGUGCUGUAAUUCGAGCCAUCUACUUCCAUAAUCCAUGGUUGGUUGGUGUGAGUUAAACGAUGAAGUCCUUUACAGCUUGCCCUUUAAUAGAAGUGGCUGGUCGGAAAUCUAGGUCGAAUUCAAUGAGUUCGAUUGCCCAUUUAGUCAACCUCCUGGAUAUGUCGGGUUUAUGAAGUAGACAGUGUAAGGAACACGAUGUCAGAAUCACUAUCGUAUGUGCUAAGAUGUAGGCUCGAAAACGAUGACAAGGGUGGAUAACAGCGUAUAUGAUUUUCUCAAUCGGAGAGUAUUAUAUUUCUACACAUUGAAGUCGCCUCGAGUGAUAGUAGAUAGGAAUCUGAUCUUUGUCCCUUUGCGCAAUGAAAACCGCAGCAGAGGUCCUCCCCAUCCUUGGGUGAUGUCAGCAUUGGAAGCGAGGACAUGUGUGCUUUUAACUUAGCAAACACGUCCUCGCAUUCCGGUAUCCAAGUAAUGAUCCCCUUAGUCACAGUUUUUAGUAAUUGGAAGAACGGUUUACACUUGUCAGCCGUUUGCGAUAUGAAAUGACUAAGUACGUUAAUCCGACCGUUCAAACUUUGUACAUCUCUAAUUGUGCGAGGGGCUUCCAUAUCAAGUAUUGCUUGGAUCUUUUCGGGAUAUGGUUUAAUCCCAUGCUGACCUACAUAAAAUUCAAGGAAUUUUCCUUCCUUGAUUCCGAACGCACACUUGGCUGGGUUGAACUUUAUUCUGUAUUGCUUCAAUGUGUCUAAGGAUUCUCUUAGAUCCUCAGGGUGCUUUUCUACGCUUAAUGAUUUGACGAGGAUGUCAUCAACGUAAGAGGAAACAUUGCGCCCGAUCUGUUCUGAGAAUACCUUAUAUAUUAAGCGUUGGAAUGCUUUAUUGAGAUCAUUGAAAUCAAUACACAUGCACCAUUUGCCAUUAGGUUUCUUGAUAAUGACAGGGUUUGCCAACCAAUGCGGGAAUUGAACUUCUUGAAUGUGUCCAGCAUUCAGAAGCUUCGAUAUCUCCUCAUUGGCCGCUACCCACCUAUCAGCAGUGAGUGCUCGACGUUUCUAGCAUCGAGCUGGAAUGGAUGGGUUGACAUUGAAUUUGUGCUUCACGAUUUGACGCGCAAUCUGUGUCGGUAUCUCACUCUCCCAAACAGACUUGCAUUUUCUUCGGGAUUGACGAGUUCGAACACGAACCCCUCGAUAUCGAAGGUGAUCACCUCCUCGGAGGCAACAAUCAGGGAUUUAGGGUUUUCAAAACUAGGGUUUGACAUCCUCGCUGGGUUUAAAAUUGGUGAUUUCAAAUAAGAUCGUCGAUUUGAAUUGGGGGUAAUUUUCGGAGGAUUAAGAGUGUAAAAGUGAGGUUUAUGAUAAUCUCACCCCUAUUUAUAGUGUUCAGAAAAAUUGUAAAAACAUCCCGCAAAAUUCAAAAAUUACGCGAAGAUAAUGCGAAAUUUAUUUUUGAAUUUCUGAAAUCAUGCAGAAUCGGCGAUUUGCCUAAAAAAAUCGCCGAUUCUAGGCAAAAUAUAAGGGGCCAAUUUAAAAGUUUUUCAAAUUUAGGGAAAUUUGUUAAUAUUCCCCAAGAUCUUUAAGAUCUUCUAAGAGAUCCGUAGGAAAAUAUAUAAAUACCCUUAGGGGUCGAUCUAAGAAAAGAGAGAAAACAGUAGAUUAAUAGAGUAGGAAUAUUCUAGUAAAGGAGGAUUGUUUGGUAUUAUACUUAAUACGAAAAGAUCAAGUAUAUCAACAACAUUCUUUAUUUUGUUCAAUUCCGAAAUAACAUCAAAGCCGAUCUCAUCGAUCAUAAUGUCUUUAAUUUAUUUUGUUUAAAUAUUUUAAAUUGUCUUAAUCAAAACUGCAAUUUUAUUUAAAAAAAUAGUUCCAUUAAAACGUAGUGAUUAUUUUCUUUGUUAAGAGAAGUAGUCAAGAUCAUAAAGUUCCCACCCUACUUUCGAUAAUGGGUAUAUAGAACUUCAAUUUGAGUUAAAACAAGGAAAGAAAAAAUAAUACAUUUAUUUUACAACAAAAAAUCAUUGUCAUUUGCUUGAAAAAUAAAAUAUUGCAAAAAAGAUUCCUUGUCGUUCACAAAAGGAGAAUAUAGUCAAAAAAGAUGAACAUGUGAUUUGCCAGUAGGAAUAUGCAAAUGACAUGACAAGGAAUUUCUUCCUCGCCCAAAGAAAUUGAUACUUCAGAGAAGUUCUAUUUCUUCUUUCAUUUUAAGCUUGCAAAUAAUACAUUUCAUCUAUCGACCUACAUCAAAUAUUUCAUUACCUUCUAUCAACUAGAUUAUCUUCGUCGGUAGAAAUUUCACUCUGUCUUCGUUGAUUCUCUUGGCCACUUUGACAUUCGUUGGUGGUGAUUGUUGAUAGAGUACUACACCCUCGUCAUUAAGACCAUUAAUUACAACAAGCAUCUUGAAAAUUGGCAACAGAUUUGCCGACAGCUUUUGAAAAGGGAUUGAGCCUUCAUUUCGUACGGUGCGGACACAUGAGGUGAUGUGGUGUGACAUGAUGAAAGAGUUCAAAUUAUAAUCAAGAUUUUGUUGUAAUAUCAAAUGUGAUGGGUGGUCUUAAGCUUUAUAUAAGAAAGUUGAAAAGAAAUGAAACAAUUUUCGACCAUCCAUUUUGAUAUAAACGGUUUGUUAAUGGAAUGUAUUUAAAUAAAAAAUUAAUAUUAUAGAUUCUAGAAAAUCUUUAUAUAAUACAUAUUAUCAAUUAUUAAAUUUGUUAUUAUGUAUUUACAUUUUACACAUAGAUUUCUUUUUCAUUAAAAAUUAAUAUUGUUGAUUUUGGAUAAUCCAUACAUAUGUAAUCAUUAAAAUUAAGAAUUUUCAUUUAAAUAUGAUUUAAUCAUUUAGGGGUCCAGGGGUCCAGGGGUCGACUUUCCAGAGAUCGACUUUCUGGGGGUCGACUUUUCCUGGUGAUCGACUUUACUCAAAAGUCGAUCCCAGGGAAGUCGAUCCUCAGGAAAGUCGAUCUUCCUAGGAUUCGACCUGAGACCUCCCCAACCCUAGAAUAGAUACCCUAACUCAUCUUAGGCUACCCGGAUUUCUAGUUGCUGGUAGGUUGUGACCGUGUUCGGGAUACUGUAUCACCAGUACUCCCCCCUCCUCUGCGUAUUAGAUACUUUGGGAUACGUCUUUUAGUACUAUGGUCUGUGUGUCGGACCCUGUACUAUCAAUUCCCAUAUUGAAAAUUGGAUAGUGGAUACCGGGGCAUCACAACACAUGACAGGUAGCAUUCAUUUAUUCACUAAACCAUUAACAAAAGAAUACAACCAUUUUGUCACCAUACCUAGUGGCAAAACUCUUGUAGUUAAAGGGGUUGGGUGCAUCAAAAUUUCUGAAAACCUAGUUCUUAAAAAUGUUUUAUUCAUUCCUGAAUUUAAAGUUAAUCUCAUAGCUAUAAGCAAAUUAACUUUAGACAAUGACAUUAAAGUAAUCUUUGAUGAUCAUUGUUUUAAAUUUCAGAAAAACAAGUCCGGGAGAGUGAUUGGCAAUGGUGAAUCAAGGAAUGGAUUAUAUUUUUUCACCCCCCAUAUCUUCCUAGCAAAUUCAGCCAUCGACUUCAAAACAUGGCAUCAUAGAUUGGGGCACAUCUCCUCAGAAAAGAUGAAAAUUUUAGCCUCAAAAUACAAGAUUAAAUGUAAAAAACCCAACUCAUGAUUGCAAUAGCAAUAGCUGUAAAAAUAGUACUUGUAAUAUUUAUAAAAAUACUAUUUUCAAUCCUAAAAUAAAUAGGAGUAUUGUUUUGAAUAAAAAGGAUGAAAAUUCUGUUUUGAAUAAAAAGAAUGAAAAUCCAGUUUUUAAUAAAAAUUCAAAUUUUUCUUUACAUAAAUUUUUUCUAGAUGAUAUUAGAAAUGUUGAACAGAAUUGUAUGAUUUGCCCACUAGCAAAGCAAACAAAACCCAAAUUUUCUAUUAGUUCUUCAAAAGCUAAAUUUUUUUUUGAUCUCAUUCAUAUAGAUUUAUGGGGGAAAUUUCCCAUUACAACCCAUGAUGGUUUUAACUAUUUUUUAACCAUAGUAGAAGAUUUUAGUAGAGGUACAUGGAUUUAUUUAAUUAAAGAUAAAUCGAUGGCAUUAAAAUGUAUAGAAACCUUCUACAAAAUGGUUAAAAAUCAAUAUAAUACAAAAAUAAAAAUUAUUAGAAGUGACAAUGGAGGUGAAUUCACUUCAAAUAAUUUCAAGAAAAUGGCUGAAAAACAUAGAAUAGUUCAACAAUUUUCUUGCCCAUAUACUCCUGCACAAAAUGCAAGAGUAGAAAGAAAACAUAGGCACCUCUUGGAUGUUGCAAGGGCCCUACAUUUUCAAGCAAAUAUUCCAUUAAAAUUUUGGGGGGAAUGCAUUUUAACUGCAGUCCAUCUAAUCAAUAGAAUUCCUUCCAAAACCAUUGAAAAUAAAACACCUUAUGAAAUUAUUCAUGGAAAAAUUCCAUAUUAUGAAAGUCUAAAAUCCUUUGGUUGUCUAUGCUAUGCAUCAACAACACAAAAGCAAAACAAAUUUUCACCAAAAGCCUAUCAUGGGAUACCCUAAAGGUGUAAAAGGAUAUUCAAUACUAAGAAUUUCAUAUAUCUAGAGAUGAAAUUCUUAAUAUCUAGAGAUGUUUCUUUUAGGGAAUCUAUAUUCCCAUUUAAAGAUAACACAAUAAUAAAAAAUGAUGAUGAAGAAUUCAUCAACUUUCAAAAAGUUUAUAAUAAUGUUUUAUUAUUCCAUGAUGAUUCAAAUAAAUCAUGGUAUGACUACAAGAGUCACAAUCAAAAUCAAAAUAAAACAAGAAAACUUGAUCCUCAAAAAAUAACAGUAGAGGUGAAAAACAUAAAAACUGAUGCUCUGGACAAUAUUCUAAAAUCAAAUAAUAAUAUUGAUUUUUCAAAUCCAGGACACUCUGGAUCUUACAAUUCAGAUACUGAUGUGAUCAAUCACACAAAGAGUAUCUCAAUGAGUAAACACACAACAAAAACAACAGUUGAGUCAAAUAAUAGCCAACAAAAUGGCACAAAUACUGAAAAUGUCCAGAAUUUACAUGAAUCUUAAAAUAAUGAAGGUUAUACAACAUCUGAAAAUAUUCAGAGCCUAAGUGAAAAACAACAAAUAGAAGAAAAUGUAAUUUCUGAAAAUUCAGAAGAACAAGAUGAACAGCUUCAAGCUGUCCAUCACAUAAUUUCAGAAAACCCCCUGGAAAUUAUGAAAAAUAAAAUAACAAGAGUUGGAAGGGUAAUUCACACACCAAAAGCAUACAAGGAUUUCUUUCUUGAAAAAGAUAGUGAAUAUGCUAUUGAUAAGAAAGGGAAAUACCCAAUAUGCAAUCAAGUAUCUUAUCAUAGAAUUAAAAAUAGUCAUAAAAAAUUUUUAAAUAAAAUUUCAGUUAUAGAUGAGCCUAGAUCUUAUUUAGAAGCUUCUAAAAACUCAAAAUGGGUGGAAGCAACGAAUAAAGAAAUGGAGGCACUACUUUUAAAUAAAACUUGGGAUUUAACCAUGCUACCUCAUGAUAGAAAGGCUAUAGGAUCCAAAUGGAUCUACAAAGUCAAAUACAAACCUAAUGGUGAAAUAGAGAGGUAUAAAGCUAGACUUGUAGCUAAAGGCUACACCCAAAAAGAAGGUUUUGAUUAUUACGAAACCUUUGUCCCAGUAGUGAAAAUGACUACAAUUAGAACAAUAAUUGCAAUUUCAGCAAUCAAAGAAUGGAAAAUAUACCAAUUAGAUGUAAAUAAUGCAUUUCUUCAUGGAGAUCUCCAUGAAGAAGUAUAUCUAAAACCACCACAAGGAUUCCUCAAUGAAGGAGAUAAAAGGGUUUGUAAAUUAAACAAAUCCUUAUAUGGUUUAAAACAAGCAUCCAGGAAUUGGGUUGCUAAGUUAAAAGGAGUUCUCCUUGAGAUGAAUUUCUCACAAACACCCUCCGAUUAUUCAUUAUUUGUCAAGAACAAUAAUGAAAACCUGAUAUACUUAUUAGUAUAUGUAGAUGAUAUUAUCAUCACAGGAAACAAUGAAACAGAAAUCUUCUUAAUUAAGAAGAAUAUUGAAAAAAAUUUCAAAAUUAAGGAUUUAGGAAAAUUAUCCUAUUUUCUAGGAAUUGAAGUUUCAUAUCCUUCAAAAGGCAUAUACUUAUCUCAAAGAAAAUAUGCUCUUGGCAUCCUAGAGGAAAGUGGACUCAUAGAUGCAAAACCAUCAAAAAUCUCAAUGGAAAGACAUGUGAACCUAAGAAAUGAGAAGGUUAAGCCAUUAACAGACCCAACCUUUUAUAGGUCGUUAGUAGGCAAAUUAAUAUACCUGAACAUAACUAGGCCUGACCUAACCUUCUCUGUCCAUUGGUUAAGUCAAUUUAUGGGAAACCCAAAUGAGAUACAUCUCCAAGUUCUAUUCAAAGUAAUAAGAUACAUUAAGAAUGCUCCUGGACAGGGAAUUCUAUAUCAAAAUCAAAACAAAAUGGAUCUUCAUGGCUAUUGUGAUUCAGAUUGGGCAUCCUGCCAGAUCAGCAGAAAAUCACUAACAGGAUACUGUAUGUUCUUAGGAACAUCAGUAAUUUCAUGGAAAUCCAAGAAACAGGACACUGUCUCUCUAUCAUCAUGUGAAGCUGAGUAUAGAGCCAUAAGCAAAGCACAAUGUGAGGUACUAUGGUUACACCAGCUAUUUAAAGAUUUAAAAUUAAAAAUCAAAUUACCAACCUCCUUGUACUGUGAUAACAAGUCAGCCAUAUAUCUGGCAAAUAACCCAGUAUUCCAUGAGAGAAGCAAACAUAUAGAAAUUUCUUGCCACUCAAUAAGAGAGAAGAUAGAAAAAGGAAUAAUCCUGUUAAAACAAGUAGGUACAAAAUACCAACUUGCAGAUAUCUUCACAAAAUCAUUGGGUGAGAGUGAAAUUUCAGCAUUCUCAGUCAAGCUAGGAAUUUACAAUGUAUAUUCCAAGGCUUGAGGGGGGAGUAUAAGAAUACAUGAAAAUCUAGGGUAAAUAAGCAAUUAUCCCACAAAACUAAGUCCAUGACCUAAUUGAAAUAAAACUAAACCAAGGGUUAUAACAAAACAGAUUUAACUGUUUUGUUUAUAACUUGAAAGGGGUUUCUUAUAAAUGUUUCAAUAAAAUCGUUAAUUGGACUAGAAUGCAAUUAAAAGAAAUAACAGGUUAUUACAAAAUAAGUUGUUUUAACUUGAAUGAACUUUCAUAUGGGUCAACUCGCAAAUUCUCCAGUUAUUUAAUAGUCUAAGGACUAUUAAAUAAAAUUCUCAAACUUAAGUCAAUGAUUAAAUUGUUAUUACUAACAAGUUUGGUUUUAUGCAGCAAUUAUCACAAUUCAAUUUAAGCGGAUCCGGGUCAAGAAGUAAUGAACCAGAAUCCGGAAUCCGAUUAAAUUUUGUUUUAAAAUCGUUGUAAUUAGUUAGUGUAAUUAGCUGUAUAAGUACUGGAGAGUUUGUAUUAAACAUCAUUAAGUUUUUAAUCAAAUAAAAACUAAACAUUUUUCAUUUUCUCCCCUUUCUUCUUUUCUUUCUUCUUUUCACUCCAACGGUUAUUUUCGUUUUAUCCCAAACUGGGAUUGGGCGGAAAACCCUAGGCGACUCCGGCAAUCUUCUCUUCAAUCGCUCGCCGGACUCCAGAAGACGGUUCCCUGACGUCGCCCACUCCUCCUACAUUGGUUUUUAAGAAAUAUAUCAUCACCAUAUAUCAUCCACAGAGAAAAAGCCUCUUUCCCGCUAGUAUUCCCUGCUCUCCCCUGGCUCCUUUUCUUGCAGGAAUGGCAUACGAUCUGGAAGCCCCACCUUGGCAGAGAUGGGCGAAGGCGAGGAAGAUCGCUCACUUCAGGCCCCUCGCGUCCAAUACAAUUUAUAUGCCGGCGGGUGCAAUAAAUGCUAGAGCAUGCCUUGAUGAGAGAUCGAUGCUCGUACGAAUGAUUGGAAUUAUGAGGAGAGAGGAAGAGGUAGUUGGCUUCAUUAAAAGCAAAUGGAGGCCCCGACAGAACUUCCGGUUGACAAGGAUGAACAGGCAAACCUACAAAGUGGGGUUCUACUGCCUAGCUGACUUUGUCAGAGUGAAAGCAAUUAAAUGGAAUCACCUGGAUGGGGACCUGAUUGUAGCGUGAAGGUCCCUUACUUUGAGGGACUGUGUCCCUUACUGUGACACAGUCCCUCAAAGAGCCGUAAUUCAUAAUAUCCCGGUGGCGAUGUGGGGCGACGAAGCGAUUGGAAGGAUCGCCAGCUCCCUGGGCGUCCCGCUCGAGGCGAAAGUAGCUGAACAGAGGCGACAGUUCCUUCCCCCACCUCUGGAGAUCUGUGUGGUGAUCGGGAAAAACUUCACCUAUCCGGAGAACAUCAGAAUUCGUACCGAGGGCCAAGAGAGCGAACCGACCAGGGAUACCAUCGUCAGUGCGGAAUACAAGCUCAAGGUCCCUUACUGCUACAAAUGUGAGGGGUACGGGCACUGGCCCCAGCAAUGUAGGGGACCGGCAGAGAAAGAGGGUGUCUGGAAAAAACCAUCUCGACAAGGCCGAGCAGGGGUGAGCCGGCAGCCAAUGGCCGAGAGUGGAGCGACGAAGAACAACUUCAAAUUUCAAAACCCAAAAACUCCCGCCAAAGAUCGAGAACCCUAUGGGUGGAAGGGAGAACUGCACCAAAUCCUCGGAAAGGUGUGAGGUGAUCGUUAGUACGGAGAGCACGUCGACCAACCCCCUGCAAAUCGUACCUGCAGCGAGCAAGAGUAAUCAAAUAGAAGACAACGAGCCCCAAUCGGAUGACCCGGAACCGGCUGAGGACCCAAUCACACCACCAAAACAGAGCACCCAGCCAGAAACUGAGGCAGCCAGUCGAUCAUCGGGGAUUCACAACCAAAUGCAGAUUGAGGGACACUCCCUCUCCAUCGAGGACCAUGCUAGCAGAGCCCAUAUAUAUCUUAUACAGUCUCCCGAAUCUAGACAAUCUCCCAAGGAGGUUAUCAUCGGCGACCUCUUACCUAAUAGUCUCGCAAAUGAACUUACACAGAGGCUACGUCAGUCCAGCAAAGCAGCCAACUGACGUUGAGGAGAUUCAUUCCAGACUGCGCUCAACGGAGAAAAGAAUUGCACUUGUCCCAAUUCAACUCUGCAACAGGUUCCAAGCUCUCCAAAGGCCGGGGCGGAAGGGAGUAAUCCCGGCCGGCACGAAGAGCAUCUGAAAAAUCUAUAAAUGCGCGGAGCAUCACCUCCCUGGGAUGACUCUAAUCGCAUGGAACGUUAGGGGAAUAUGCUCCACCGACAGACAAUCGGAGCUGCAAAGAGUCUGUCUAGAGAGGUCAGUCGAAAUAUUCGGCAAAGUAGAAACCAAAACCAAAGAGGAGCAAUUCAAGGAAGUCCAGGGGAAGAUGGAGACUAAAUGGAAGAUUGAAAGGAACUUAACGAAUAAUGGCCGCGACUCGAUUUGGUUGGGGUGGAAGCCGGCACUGUGGAAGGCAACAAUAUUGACAGCCCAUAGCCAAUUCAUUCACGCGUGCAUGCUAAACAGUGGGGGCUACACGUUCGAUCUGACGAUAGUCUACGGGGAGUGAACCGCAGUGAAACGGUACGCUCCGGGCAACAUCGAGCUCCCAAGAUUGGCUUAUCAUAGGGGAUUUCAAUGAAAUCCGAUACCCUUCUGAAAGAGAGGACCACGGUGUCUUCGACAGAGCGGGGGCUCUGGAAUUUGAAAAUGCGAUUUCGGGCUUCUCAAAACUGGAAACGAUGGGAGGCAGCUUCACAUGGACAAAUGGGACGGGAGCUAUGCACACCAGAACUAAACUGGAUAGAGCACUGGAUAUCCAGGUGGCCACAAGUCCGGCCGAAGCUGGUACUCGGGACGACGAGUGACCAUGCUGGCCUCCACGUCCAACUCACUCAGACUGAAAAGUCCUCUACGCCAUUUAAAUUUUUUAAUAGCUGGCUGAGGGAAGCUGACUUUAACGACAAAUUCAUAAGUACCUGGAACGAGCCAGUCAAGGGAUCAUCGAUAUUUGCGCUGUAGCGAAAAAUCAACAACAUAAGAGCAAUGGCGAAGAGAUAGAUCAGCGAUAGGAGGAAAAAGCAAGUGACAUCAAAACAAAUUGCCGCGCAACUCCAACUAGUGGCAGCUAAGCUCCAGCAGGACCCUCACAACAUUGCCACUCAACUAUCCUGCAACAAACUUAAACUUAAGCUCAGGGAAACUCUACAUAGAGAACAGAUGGACCUCAAACAACGAGCUCACAUUAACUGGGUAUCCUUAGGCGAUAAGGGAACACAUUUCUUCGCCCAGGCGAUCAAAGCAAGGCACGCGAGAAACUCUAUUAUGGGCACCUUGGAUCUUAACGGAAAAUCGACUCACACGAUCUCAGAGAUGAAAGACAGAGCGGUCGAACACUUUACUAAGUUGUUCGAUGCGAACCGAAGGCCAGCCCCGAUCCCAAAUCUUAAUAUCGAAGUUGUGGUAAGGCCCUCCGAGGAAGAGAAUGCGAAGCUCAGAUGCUUCUCGAGUGAGAGUGAAGUCCGCAAUACCCUACUGAGCAUGCCAGCCGGGAAGGCGUCGGGCAUGGACGGUCUGACUGUGGAAAUAAUAGCAUUCCACUGGAGCACAGUACGCGUCGACAUAGUACUCGCAAUACUCCACUUUUUGUCACCCGAAGGAUGCUACGAUCCCUCAACUUAGCUAUCCUCACCCUCAUUCACAAGAAGGAUUCGCCAGAGAGGCUCGACGACUAUAGACCGAUAUCCUGUCUAGGGGUCACGUACAAAAUUUUCGCGAAACUUCUCACAACAAGGCUGAUGUCGGUUCUCCCCGGUCUGAUCGCCCCUAACCAAACAACGUUUAUCAAAGAAAGGAGGAUCGCCGAUGCAAUUGCCCUCGCCCAGGAAUUUGUCCAAUCCUUCAAUUGCAAGAGUACCUUCAGGAGGGCACUCAUUGCAAUUGACUUCGCCAAGGCGUUUGAUACCGUACGCUGGAAUGCAAUAGAAGCAGCUCUGGAGCUCCUAGGGAUCGAUCAGACAUUCAGGCAGCUGGCGGCGUAUCCUCCACGUCGGUGUCAGCGCUAGUGGAAGGCUCCCUGACAGUAAUUGUAAAGCAGAGGAGGGGCUUGAGACAGGGCAACCCACUGUCCCCCCUACUAUUUACGGUGGUGAUUGAUUACCUGUCGAAGCUCGUACACCACGCGGUCGCAACCAAGAAGCUGGAAUUAUAUACAACAGGAGGAAUAAAGGUAGAGAGCCACCUCGCCUUUGCCGACGACGUAGAAUUCUUUUGCCGAGCCUCAACGAAAUCGUUUAAUGCAAUCAGUGAGAUCCUGUCCGAAUUCACGAAUUUCGCCGGCCUGAAUGUCAAUUGCGGGAAGAGUUAUGUGGUCUUCUCAAAGCGUGUAAAUGAGGAAACGUACUGGCAAGCAUACUGGACUUCCAGGUCAAGGAACUACCGGUCCGCUACCUUGGAACGCCGCUUACCGACAGAUUAAUUAGAUACAAAGAUUGUGAUGGGCUCCUGGUUGAGCUCAGAUACAUCCUCACAAGGUGGAACUCGAAGAGAUUGUCAUAUGCCGGGCGAAUGCAGCUGGUAGAUUGGGUGUUCCAGGGGAAGUUUGGGUAUCUAUCACAGAGUAGCUUCAUUCCCCAGGCGGCGCUAGAAUCAAUCCAAUCAAUCACCUAAAAAUUUAUAUGGGGGUCGCAAAGGGAAGUAUCAUGGAGAAGUAUGACGAGAACGAAGAAUCAAGGAGGAUUGGGUGUGCGCGAUUACAAAACAGCCCAUCAAGCAGCCAUAAUCAGCCGUGCUUGCCGAAUGUGGGAAUGCGAGGGAGUCUGGAGCAACUGGAUGGGAAAGAGAUACAUUAAAGAUCGCCCGCUCAGUGGGAUCGAAGAGCGCCAGAACGACUCGUCGAUGUGGAAGGCUACGCUACGUCAGAGAAGCCAAAUAGAAAAAUGCACGGUCCUGGGGGCGAACGGAGCCAAGACCUGGAAAGGAAUGGGAACUGCCGACUCAGCCAGGAACGUGGUCUCCACCAUACGCCCAGAGCACCCAACUGAUAGACUCGCGAAGGGAAUCUGGGCAGUAAAGAUGGCCAAAAUGGCGCUCCACUUAUGGAGAUACAGAUCAAACAAUCUCCCAACCAAGGACCGGCUGAUAUGAAGAGGGAUGGUAAUCUGCGGGCUAUGCGGUAAGGAGCAAGAGGAUGUCGACCACGUCUUCCUGAGGUAUGAAUACUCAAGAUGGAUCCUUAGAGAAGGCUUUGAAGAAGCGGGCUCGCUGGUCAACCUCGGCACUGCGAACAGCUUUGAAGAGGUGGCCGGUGAGCUGAACAAAAUCACACUAGGCAUCCCAGCAUGGGGGCUGCAAUGGUCAAUGCUGGGCGCGAUACUAUUCCAAGUAUGGAAGCAACGGAACCUCCAAAGAGUCAGGAACAAGCUCGAGCCGAAGCAGAUAGUCCUCUGAUCAUGCAUCGACAUCGUCGGAAUUGGCUUUGAUGAAAGAAAUUACAAGAGGAGGCACCGGACACCGAUUGAAGGAAGGGCAUUGCUCCAAUGAGAUCCCCUCCUCAUGCUCAUCCACGGCGACCGAUGAAGGGAGUUAGCAACUGCUAACUGCUGGCGGGUAAAUUAGUUGAUCAGUUUAAAUUAAGUUUAAAUGUUAAAACACUAUAAUUCAGGUUUUCAUUAAUAUUAAAGUAUCUUUAACCAAAAAAAAAGAAUAAACUAAAACUAUACAUCACGACAAAUUGCUGAUACUUUUACAAAGUCAGUCUCUCAUGAUAUUUUUUUUAAUAUGUGCAGGGGUGUUUGAAUAUGAAAUUCACUAUGUUUAAGACAGCUUGGUAAUAGGUAAGGGUUAGUAAAUCUUUUCUACUAUCUAAUUUUUGUUUUGUCUCUAGUUGCUUUGUUGCAGUCUGAGAUAAGAAUAAUGGAAACAGGAUGUUAUACAAGUAGUCCAAUGGUGAUUAAGACUCAGAAAUGUAAAAGUUUUCCAGAAUAAAGUCACUGAGUUUUUAAUCCAUUCUGUCCAAAAAUUUCAGAGCUUACUCAAUCAAUCAAUCAAUAUUACUCUAUUAUAAAUUGAAUCUUCUCAUUGUUGAAAUCCCGAUCUAGUUUAAGUUCUCUCAUGUAUAUAUAUACGGCGCGUACGGUGCAGUUCUCGCACGGCGUGGUUCGAUACGCCGGCGAAAUCUGACCGUCCAUCGCUUGAUUUGCCGCGAACUUCGACACGGAAGAUGUGUGGUUCGUCGAUCCGACCGCCCAUCCACCGAAUUCUCAACCGAUUUGCCGCGAACUUCAACACGCAGGACGUGCGACCAGAAACCCAGUGUAUAUAUAUAGGAUAAUUAGGGUAUCAACUAAAGCUCGACUCGACGAACUCGAGCUUAAAAUUCAAGCUCGAUAAGCUUAUCGGUCAAACUUAGAUAUUAAUUGAUAAGGAUUAUUGAAUAAAUUAAAAAAAACUUAAAUAAAAACUUAAAUCUACAAAAAAACAUCAAGUUUGAGCCCAAGCUUGUCGAUUUUGGAAUAAUUAGGGUAUUAACUAAGUUCGACUCGACUGGCUCGAGCCUAAAGUUCAAGCUCGAUAAGCUUAGAUAUUAAUUGAUAAUAAGGACUAUUGACUAAAUUAAAAAAAAACUUUGAUAAAAACUUAAAUCUAAAAAAUCGUCUAUUUUGGGAUAAUUAAGGUAUCAAUUAAAGCUCGACACAACGGGCUCGAGUCUAAAGUCCAAGCUCGACACAACGGGCUCGAGUCUAAAGUCCAAGCUCGACACACGGGCUAGAUAUUAAUUGAAAAUGACUAUUAAAUAAAUUAAUAUAAAAAACUUAAAUAAAAAUUUAAAUCUAAAAAAAAUCAUAAGCCCAAGCUUGUCGAUUUUGCAAACGAGCUGAGUCCGAGCUCGGCCAAACCAGGAUCGGGUUCGAGCCAAUUCCUUAAUGAGUCAAGUCCGAUUCUAUAAGUAAAUUAAAAAGCUCGGCUUGUCUCGACUUGACUUGACUAACACCGUAAGGAUAAUGAAAUAAACAAACAAGAAACAGAAGAAAGUAGUAAAAAAAUAUAUAACGAGACCUAAUUAUGGAUAUUUGAACUCACCUGUUAUAUUCUGAAAUCUGAAUUAUUGUCACAAGAUCUGAGUCGUAAAUGCUUUGAGGGAAACUCAAUUCGAGAUGAUUUUAUUUUGAGGAAAAAACUUGAAUUUUUUUAAAUUUGAUUCAGCAUGUACCAAACCUGUAAAAUAAAAAUUUAAAAUAACCAUCAGAACCGCAAAUAUCUACAAAUUAAGAUAAGUUGCAGAUGAAUGAAUAAAUGAAUAACAUCGACAUAUGCAUAACUUACAUGUUGAUUGUACGCCAAUACAAGAGGUACCCAAUCUAAACAACUCUGGGCAAUACAAAUCAGAGAACUCCAGGCCAAGAAGUAGCUUUAAAACACAUGGUAUCAGUGGUUAUCAAAUUACAUGGUAGGUGUCUAUAAUUGAGUAAUCAUUAGUUUAAUGCAUUAGGUGGCAGUGGUGCUGUUUCUCAAUUUGGACUUUUUCCCUAUAUAUACUAUUAUAAGUAGUGUUGGAAUUUUAGUAUACAAAACUUAAGAUCUAAAUCAGAUCCCAUCCUUAAUGGGAUUUGGGACGGACCCGAGUCCUUAAUGGGAUUUUAAAAAAUAUAAUUAUUUAAAUAAAAAUUAAAACCAAGAACAGAUUUAAAUAAAAAUAUAAUUAUUCAAAUACAGUAUACAAAUGACCCUAGAUCUAGAGUUAUUUACUACUUUUAUCUAGAUCUAGAAUUUGUAAUUACCAACUAUACCAUGUAAUGACUCACUAAUCAUGGUUACAUAUUUAAUAAUUAAACAAGGAGAAGGACCCUGACCUGCCCCUGGUAUGGAGUCGGGUUUCGACCUAGACCCGACUCUCGGCUCACAUCCACAUGGUAAACAGUAGGCGGCAUGGACACCUUCCGACAUCCGAAUUGACCCUGUACGCUCGGCCGAGGGUCUCCGCCUCACGUCAAAUGUCACGUCCUCUGCCAAGACUACCACAGUGGUUCUCAUUGUGCUCGAGCGGCCAUAGGUACAAUUCGGAAAAAUUGGGUGUUGGGUUUUUUCGAUCCGAAGCUCCCUCUCUAAGCCCAUACCGAUUUUAUAGGAAUUGGAAGUCGAUCGAUGGAAGAUAGAGAAUAUUCGGGAAGGUCUUCGGGAAGGUCGUUGCAGCUGCUUUCUGCUUAGUUGAUCGAGCAUCUCAAGGAUAACGAUGUCGCCGUGGGAAAUAAGUUCAUCACUGUUUGUAGCAAGAGUGGAAGGAAGGUCGUAGCCACCCAUAAGGACUACGUCAUGUCAAACUCCAGAGAGGUACAUUUCCGGUACCAAUGCCAUCCUACCAAACAGUAACGCGGCAUGCAUUGUGAAAGGACCGAGAAUGUACUAAUUCAUACUCCUUCUCACGGACGGCUGAGAAUAAACGCAUUCGACGGACGGCUAAUCACUCAAUCCGUAGAGGAGAACUGCAUGGAAAUUGCGUCCUAUUAUAUUAUUAGGAACAUAAUCAUGUAAGAUAACGAGAAUGAGCAAUCAUCAUCGAAGGUACAAAUUCAUCGUCUUUGAAUGAUCGACAAUCAAAGACAUAUUCGGACAGACUAUCCGUUGUUUGAUUAAAUAAAAUCCAGGUAUUGGUACCACGGUACGUCCAGCGGACCGUGGACCGAACUUGCCGCGAUCGGGUCGUGGCUCACGGGUCCAACUGCCCAAAGGGGCCUGGGCCGAGGGAGGCUCAGGAAGACUGCACGCAACAUAUAAAUACUUCUCAUGGUCCAACAUGGGAAGGGGCUGAUGACAAAGGAGAGUACCUAUACUAGAAAGAGGAGAGUUGAGUGUGUGCGAUCCGUUUGUAAGCCCACACACCAUCACUAGGCAAAUCCAUGAUGGUCAUAUUGUUCAGAUAGCAGAUGAGAUUGCAACAUGGAACAUUGCAUCUUUAUUCCUAUACACACCAUCAAUCUUGUCGUGAGUUAUCAAAUCGUAACCAUUAGUAUUUAAUUUAAUGACUAAAAUAACGUAUUGCAUAAGACACUAACACAGGAACACAUGUACGACGUAAAAUAAUAUACUGUACAAGAUAUUAACACAUGUACGACGUAAUGUCGAUCUAAUAACAUGAUUAACUUAACACAGCAUUCGCAGUAGUUACUUAAAUACUAUAGCUACAUAAUUUUUGAAAUGUCUGAGCGCGUCUAAGUUUUGAAACUUGUGUCACAUUUCUUGCUGCAAAUCAAGUUAAAAAAAAGUUGGAGGAAAUAUAUUCUGCUAAACCUGCUAAUACUAAAAGUCUAGACUUUGGUUCGAACGAGGAAAUGAUCGCCGGCGGUACUCUUCCGAUCUCAUCCCCAUCCACAAAGCGGUACAUCCUCCGCCUCUUCAUCUCCCUUAAGUACGUGACGGCUAACGUGGUCGAUAUCAAACGCGGCAAAGUUGCCGCGACGGCCUCCUCUGUCGAGAAAGCAUUAAAGGAGGGAGUGGUGAUGGUGAACGGCCAGAGAAGAAACAAUGCCAAGGCCGCCGCCGCCGUUGGUGAAGUUCUUGCAAUGAGGCUCAAGGUAGACGGUCUUGCUCGCGAGCCGAUAUAUGCAGAUGUCAGGAAGGAAGUUGAGAAGAAAGGGUUUAGGAAUCAAACUAGGGUUUGGGCUAUAAUCAAUGCUCUACGUACACACGGUGUUAAUCUUAUUUUCAAAGAUCCUCAGAAUACUUCCGACGGCAUUCAGCGAUGGCGAUCCUCCUCCCGGUAAAUUGAAUAAUUCUUAUUGUUCUGCGGAAUUGUUAAUACAAUGAAUGCCGAAUGAUUUGACAUUUGCAGAUAAUGAAUGAAUGAAUUAUGGGGCAUUGUUGGUGUAACCCAAAGAUUUACAAAUCUGAGUUCCUUUUUUACUUUGGGUAGAGAUGAAAUCGAUUCUACAAGCUUCAUCAGUGUUAUUUUAUCCUUGACCAGAUUAAUUUUUCCCCAAUUUUGCCACUGUUUUCUGUCUGGGUUUUUUCUCCCAAUAAUAAUAAUAGAAGAAUCCAAGAACUUUUGCUUCUUUGAUUGAUUUCUCUCUUUCUUCUGCUAAGACACACACCAUCUUUAGACUAUAUUUAUUCUCAGGCUAGUUUUGUGGGCAUAUGACAUGUAUGUUUGUUUCUUCAAGUGUUGUGAAAGGAAUGGUGGAUCACUUUUAAGUAAAGCAACACAUAUUCAUAUGCACAAUCCAACUAUUAAAGCAUAACAAGUGUUACACGGGAACCAAAAAAAACUAGCUACCAUGUGUUCUUCUUUUCUUUAGAGAUUGGAGAAAUUCUGAAAAGAGAAAAAGAGUGUUGAAGGAUAGAAACUUAUGUGUAAAGUUUUGAAAGAAAAAAAUCUUUUUCUUUUCAUUUUAAAAGAAGAACAGAACAUUGAAUCAAAAUUCAAAAUAUAUGUUAUGACAAUUGUUGUAGAAGAAGGCACCAUCACUAGGGAGGAUCAUCACGGUGAGUUGGUUAAGACUCCACAAUGUCUCUGCUCAUGGUCUACUGGCAUUGCUCGUUACAUUUAUGCUCUUAUCUUCCUCACCACUAAUCUUUUGGCAUGGAUGGUUAGAGAUUACGGCCGAGUUGCACUUUCUAAGCUUCGGAGUAUGCAGUUUAUUCUCUCUUCUUCUUCAUUAAGUACAGUUUUAUUUGUUUUUGUUUUUUCACUCAUAGAAAAUUUAGAAAUGCAAGGUUUCCAUUCGGGAAAGGAAUGCUUAGGCUCAGAAGGCGUGCUCCGUAUAAGUCUUGGUUGCUUUGUAUCCUUCAAAAAAUAAAAAACUACCCACAAUUUAUAUCGAAGUACAUCUUUAAUUAUGUUUAGCUCUUCUUUUUUGUGAUGUUUGUUUCAACGGUUGGAACAAGACAAUUGGGGCAACGUAGGAAUUCAUGGCAUUCAAGUUGGUGGUCUGCCAAGAUUAUUCUAUGGAUGAUUUUCAUGAUCUUCCCUUUCAUCAUUCCUUCUGAUUUUGUCUUGUUCUAUGGUAAGCCAUUAUUUGUAUAUAUUUUUUAAAUUUAUAUUUCUUAUGAGUUAUGAAGUAACAUUGCAGUUUGCAUACCAUCAAAUUCCAUUGUAUCAUUUUUUUAACUAGAUCUCUUAUGAAUUCUAACUUUCCUUAUCAUCAAACAUCAAUUGUAGGGAAGAUUGCUCAUUUGGGUGCAGGGUAUUAUUCUCUUUCGUCGACCCAAUAUGAUUGUUUUUCUUUCUCUAAACCCUUUUUCCAAUUUUUAUUCCUUAAUAGUCAAAUUUCUUGAGAUAUCUUGUUUUUUUUCCUUUUUUCAGAAUUUUCCUCUUCAUUCAACUAAUAAGUGUGAUCAGCCUAAUAACUUUGUUAAAUGAUUAUUUUCGGAUGGGAAACAAUGCUGAGAGAUGGUGGGUACACUGUGCAAUUGUUUUAAAUAUGUAUUUUUCACUCUUAAUUCUUGAUCUCAACUUCUUUGACAUGUUUGAAUUUUGUUCUCAGUCGAAUUCAAGUAUUAUUCAUCUCAAUUACUGCAUAUAUCGUAGCGUUGUUAUUCAUUAUCUUAAUGUACAUCUGGUAUGCACCAAAUCCAUCUUGCAAGAUCAAUAUAUUUUUCAUCACAAUGACAUUGGCACUUAUUCAACUAACAACAUUCGUCUCCACACUUGACAAAGUGAGUUUACAUCUCAUUAUCUCCACAACCAAACAUCGUAACAACACAUGUGAUUUUUUCACUGUCUUUUUAUUUCUUCCAAGGUGAAUGCAGGAUUUUUAACCCCAGGUUUAAUGGCGGUAUACCUGGUUUUCAUAUGCUGGUGUGCUAUUAGGAGGUAAUUUCAAUCAUCCGCAUUCGUGAUCAUUGAGUUUUUAAAAUCAUUUAAAUCAAAGUGUAUUAAUUUUAAUAGAAUCGUUGAUCACAGUGAGCCACACAGUGAGAACUGCAACAAGAAUGAUGGAAUGCAUUCGAAUUUGAUGACUUAUAUAGUAAUACAUUUUUUUCAUAAUCCGCCCUGAUUUAAUGCGCCCUGCCUUGGUUUAAUAAAUAGUUUUUUUUUUCAGAGUUUUGUUGUGGCUGUACUUGUUAUAGUCGUUGCGACAUUCACAACUGGGAUUGAUUCCAAGUGCUUUCAGAUGAUUUUUUAUGUCAGCAAACUGCAUAAAACUUCCCGUUCUUUAUUUUUCAUAGAAAAUCUAUAAUUCUCAGUAGAUCACUUCUUGUGUAGUUCAAGAAAGUGAAAACAGAGACAGAAGAUGUUCCAUAUGGUUAUGGAUUCUUCCACUUUGUCUUUGCAAUGGGUGCUAAUUACUUUGCAAUGUUGUUCAUUAGUUGGAACACACACCAUACUAUGGAAAAGUAAGUUUCUCUGAACAUUGAUUCUGCAGUGUGUUAUUUCCUGUUCGUCAAAAUGUAUUAACACUUUUAUUAAAUAUUGAAUGGAAAAAAGGUUUUAUCUAGUGAUAUCGUCAAAGAAUUUUACUUUUUUACACACUGUAAUUAUUCUCCCAAUGGUUUAAUUGCAGAUGGACAAUUGAUGUUGGAUGGGCUAGUACUUGGGUUAGAGUUGUGAAUCAAUGGCUUUCUGCAGUUGUUUACUGUGAGUAUAUUUUAGUUGUUUCCUGUGUUCUUUUUCUUUUCUUUUUCAAAGUAGUUAAAUUUUAACAACAAAAAAAUCUUUUUCUUUUUUAUAGUAUGGACAAUUGUUGCGCCAUUGUUUUGGAAGAACUUGAGAUGUCCAGAGCCUCAAGAAGGAUAACUUGAAUCAAAAUUGACUAAUUGAUUACUAUUUUGCAAAAAUGAAAAACGAAAGGUAACUAGUUAGGAUUCUUAAAAAACACAAACACAACACGAUUUUAACACGAACAGUCGAACACACACAUGUUCAUAAAAAUACGAUUUUAACACGAACAGUCGUAUUCAUGUUAAUAAAAAUCACAAUGUAUUGACAUAACUAAUUGUGUAAUUAAUUUAGUAAUUAGUAUAAUUAACUAACAUUUUGAUUAAUUAGAUUUAAUUCUCUCUUUUGUAACUACCUAAGAUCGUAGGGUUUAGGCUCAUCCCAUAACUUCAAUCCAACUCCGACCAUGGAUUCGUUUGAAUUCGUGAAUUCGUUUGAAUUCGUUUGAAUUCACUCCUUCUCCGAUCAUCCGACACCAGAACAUCCACACCUGAGAGCAAGAUAAGUCCAGUAAACCCGCUAACAUGGAGUUCCAGGUAACAACGUCCUUUCUUGCCACGGUAAAUGCGUCCUCGAAAAAAUCCACGGCUUCCUCCAGCUUUCCAUUGCGUAUCUUAGCAAUGAUAAACGUGUUGAGCAAGAAGACAUUGGAAGCAUAGCCAUGUCUGAAAACGGUCCCCCAUCCGAUACGAACUCGAGCUUAACGGCCCGAUUUCGACGGCCCCGUCAAAAAGUGCCGCAAAUCGGUAGUGGGGAGGGAUGAAAACCCACGAGAGCCACGGUUACCACGCGAACGCCGACGGCGGCCGUUUCCCCCGACAGGAGCGGCGGCGGGCACACUGUGCAGGGAGCAGCAGAAGCUCGAGGUCACAGCAGCAGCAGCAGAAGCGGCGGCGGAAGCAAUAGGCGCGCCGGAGGAGGAGGGCACAUCGGAUUGGCGGAGCGGGGUUAGGCGGCGAUGCAUGUCCAGCAGGACGGAGUUGAGUCGCAGAACCUCCGAAACGGCGACGGUGUGAAAGACGCCGGCAGGCAUCAGCAGACACUCUGUCCACGUGGCAUGCUGGAGUUUCCCCUCGGGGCCAAACUCCUCCAGAAGGUCUUGGGCACUCAUCAGAAGAAAGUUGCAGGGCAAGGAGAGUAACCCACAAGGGCACCUAUUUAUAAAAAAAGGGGGGAGGGGGCAUGAGCAACGAAGCAUCAUAAAGAAGGUGGUUGAGCGAACCAAGGAAAAUGGGCCGGGUGGAGCCCUUAACCCCCCAGGCCUGGGGGGGAGUACUGUUGGUACCAUGACUCGUCCAAACGGACCAUGGGCCAAACAAACCGCAGGGCCCAGAAGGCCCAGGAGGGUCUUCUAUAAGUACCUCCCCUGCCCCAACUGGGGAGGGGGUUGAUAAUCAUUAGAAAAAAUACUAGAGAGUUGUGUGUGUGAGCCCCCUAGCACGAGCCCACACACCAUCAGUGUGAGAAAAGGUUUUUGAAUUUAACCAAAAAGUUUAAGGUUUUGUUUUAUAGAGUUUCCGAAAAAACUUUUAGUUGCUAAAUCUACCUUUAAUGACUUGAGAAUAGUUGUGUUGGUGUGUGGGCUCGCCGGAGUAAGCUCACUGUCCAACUUAGUACAAGUGUAACCCUAAAAAUUAUCAACCCCCUCCCCUAUUGGACCAGGGGAGGUAUUGAUAGCUUUCUGUUGCUGACCUCGGGCCCGUCGUGGGCUCGUGCGUUGACCUCGUCCACUCGCCUGGGCCGCCGACGGGUCCUGUUCGGUCCGUGGGCCACAGUCCGCGGUCCAUGGUACCAACAGUACUCCCCCCUUCCUCGACGGGCCCGGGCCCGGGCCCGGGGGCCGCCCAUCCCGCCUACAACCACCUCCAUUAAAACUCCUCAGUGUUCGAGCCCAUCCUCCUUAUCCUUCCUAUAAAUAGCCUACUCGACUCUUCCACUUCUCAUAUCACCCCCCCUUCCGCUAUGAGUGUUCGAGACAUCCUCGAGGAAUAUGGUCGCGAAGUGCAGCUUCAGCACGCCGCCUGGGCCAUGUGCCUGAUGUCGCCCGCCGGCGUCCCUAACAGCGUAGCCGUGGCCGAGACUCAACGUCUCAACGCCGUGUUGAUCGACGUCCAUCGUCGCCUCUCCCAGGUUCGCCGCUCCGACAUUCUCGCGGACCUUCCUGCCGUCGCCUACCCCGGUACCGCUCUUGCCGCCGUCUCGGGCUCUGCUGGCACCUCGCGUGCUUUCAGCGCGCAUGGUACGAUCGCCGCUCCUGCUGUCGCCGCCGCCCCCGAUUCUCUGCCAAGGAGUCGUCGGUCGCGCGGCCAUCGCCGCUCCCGUGGGUCUUCGUCCCUUCCGGCUAUUGACCUGCGCCACUUCCUGUCGGGGUCCUCGAAGUCGGCCCGCUAGGCCCGUCGUGGGGAUAUCCGCGGUCGUGGCUACGUCCUUUCGGGCUGUGGGUCUGCCUUCGCGGGGCGACGUCUGGGGCGCCUCGUCCUUCUUCUCUCCUAUUUCUUUUUUGUAUCCGUACUAUCGCUGUUGUUAUGUGUUGUGUACUUUUUUCCGUUGUGUCGCCGGCUAUUGUAACACUUGCUUUAAUUUAAUGAAUGAUUUUCCUUCGUGUCUUUCUCUUUUGGUUUGACUUUGCCCCCCCACGUUGGUGCAAAUUUGCGCUACUCGGCGUCCUCUGCCGACGUUGCCCGAGUCCUUCUUGAGCUUUGCCCUCGCUCCUGUGGCCCCCCGGCCUAUCCAGUCCCAUCCAACCCAGGUAAGCGACGCCUCGUCUUCCGCACCCUCGAACCCUUAUAUAAACCUCGCUUCCCUGCUUCCCUCCUUCACUCGCGACUAACUUUCACUUCCUCUUGCCUCACUCUCCGUCUUCCCCGACUCCGACUUCCUCCCUUUACCAGGUUGCUUACGGCUGCUGCUCCCUGCUCCGCUGCCGGCUCCUCCGCCGUUGCUCAAGCCGACGCCGGCGCCGCUCUUGCCGAGUCACUUUUCGACGCUCCCACCAGCAAGAAUCCGCUGUCUACCGUUGGAGUCGACGUGAUCCGGGAGGCUCUGGUGAAGAUGGGCCAGCCGAAUCUACUUUUUACCGAGGCCGGAAAUCGCCUCGCUUCUAACCCGCCGCCGGGCAUGGUCGCCCUUUACACGCCCUACGCUGAUGCCGGCCUCGUUCUUCCGCUUCCCCCUCUGGUGGCCGAAGCGAUGCAUUUCUGCGGCAUCUCAGUCUCCCAGUUCCCCCCGGCUGCCAUCGACCGCAUGAUGACCUUCACCCUGCUCUGCCAUCGGUCCGGCAUCGAAGUCUUCCUGCCCGUCUUCCUGAUCUGGUUCACUAUGACUUCGAUGACCACCGAUCCCCGUCGUCUGCUGAUCGCCCAGAGGUCGGGCGGUGCCCUCUUCGACCAGCUGGUCAACCGAUCUCACCACUGGCGGGACCGGUUCUUCUUCGUCCCCGUCAGCGCCCUUGGGCCGGCCGAAUCGGAGGCGACUCUCCCCUCACGCUGGGCUCUGCUGACCCUGUUGAAGACCCGGACCGCCGCCCCCAGCCGAGACGCAUUAACGCCCCUGGCCCAGAUCGCCCAGGAGGUUCUGAUCGAAAUUUACCGCCGCGGGGCCGUCAACGCUCGGACGCUGGCCCAAUCUUGGAGCUUCGAGGAGCAUCGGGCCUUUCCCGUCAAGAUGCCUUACUUCCGGGACGGCCCGCCCAAGCGUCCGAAGAAAAGGUCGCACGACGCCGUCCAGUUUCAGUCCCCCGCUUCUCCACCUGUGCACACUCCCGAGCGUGGCGUCCCGGCCGAAUCUGACACCGGUCUUCUAGACAGCCGAGCCGAGCGACGACGACGGAAGAAAGCUCGGGCCGAGAAAAGGAAGUCUGUCGCCGCCGCCUUGGAGACGGUCGUGGUUGAGAACUUGGACUCCUUCGAACCCAGUUGCUUCGAUCCCCCGUCUGCUGAGCUCGCGGACUCUCGCCUUCGGGCAGAUGGGUUGGAUCCUGAGGGCUUUCGCUCCCUCCUGCAGAGGCUCGAGCACUCUAUUGACUUCUCCGCUCCCGUCGACCCUGCGUCCUCCUUGCCCCGCCUCGGCGGGAUCUUCAGGCAGAAACUCAACGAUAUCGAGUCCUGGCUGGCGCCAGAAGACGAGUACAUUCAACUGCUCGCCCGCCCCCCGUCGGCCCUCGACCUUGACCUGUUCCACCAGAUACUACAGCUUUCGGUUCUCACCAAGGUUCGGUUGGAGCAAGGCCUUCGGCAGAGCGAGGAGGUUCAGCGGUUGCAGACCGAGCUUGCCGCGGUGAAAGGUCAACUGGACGCGGCCGAGCGUGAGCGGGAUGUUCUGGCUGUUGACGUGUGCCGAGCUGCCGAGGAGGAGAAGAUUCGGGCUGCUGCCGUGAAGGACGCUGCUGCCGCCGCCGCGAAGGAAGCUCAGGACGAGUUUAUCAAGGGCUUCGUUCCUACCUUCGAGGCCCGUUUGGCCGGACUGAAGGAGGACCACACCGUCUUGCUGAAGGACUCCAAGCGCAGCGGCUUCUGGAAAGGUUACGUGCAUGGACGCCGGAUGUGCGAGCUCGCCUACGCGCUCCUGUCGUACGGUGUCGUACCCCGGAGCCGACUCGAGUGGGAAGACUGGAAGAAAACGAGCGUCCCCACCUACCAGCCUCCCUUGGAUGUGAGCGACAGUGAGGAGCAGAACCUUGAGGCCGACUUCCCCGAUUACACCGAGCCUCCCUUCGAGUAGCUUACCAUUCGUUCUUUUCUCUUUUUUUUUGUAUGGAAACACUUUAACUUUUCCCUUGUAAUAACACUUAACCUUUUUUUUUUACUUUUACACUUGUUCGUGGAUCUUUGAUAUUCUUGAUUGCCGCCUGCUUUUCUUCUUACUUCUCGUCCGUUUACUAGCCGUCCGCGCCCCUUCUGGGUGGCGUUGCCGCUUGUUUAGGUGCCCCGCGCGGUUUGCUGGCUAGGGACGUCCCGGCCGGUCCUUUCUCCGCUCUGAGCGUCCUUUUUACUUCAAUUGUUUUCUUUCCUCGAGGAAGCGACCUGGGCCCUUCGGACGUUCCCGUGCGGCCUUUCGGCCUCGGGGACCUUCCGCUAGCCUUUUCGGCGGGCUUCCUCGCUCUUUUCUUGCCUCGCAACAUAUCGCUUUCGCGUUCUUACUCGUUGUGUUUUCUUUUGAGGGGGGCGGCCUGGGCCAUUCGGAUUGUCUCAUGCGGUCGUCCGACCCUGAGAGCUUUCCGUUAGCCUUUUCGGCGGGCUCCCCUGAUUUUUUACUUCUCAUUUUUUCUUUCAAUGGGUGCACUCCGGGUGCGUUUUAUUGGGCAUCGCGUGCCGUGGUCGGGGAGACGCCCGACAUUACAAUGGAUGGGGGUAGUAAAUAAAAAAAACAAAGGGAGAAAACUAUCUCGCCGGCCUCAUACGCGUUGUUUCACCGCCUGUACUUCUCCAGGUUUUCGGCGUGCCACGUUCUUUCAAUUUCCUGCCCGUCCUCAUACCCUAGGCGGAAGAUGCCUGGUUGAAUCUCGUCCACGAUGACGUACGGGCCCUCCCACCUUGCUGACAAUUUACCCUUUGUCUGGUCGACUCCUGUUACCUUGGCGUUUUUCAACACCAGGUCGCCUAGCGCCAGGUUCUUGUCGGCCACUCUUUCGUUGUGGUACCUUGCCACCCUUCGUUUGUAAGUGAGGUCCCUGAUAGACGCCUCCUCUCUUCGGCUCUCUAGGUGCUCCCUUUCUAGGAACAUCGCUUGGUCGUUCGUCCCCGGCUGGAACUGCUCGAUGUGUGCGGUCGGCCGUACCAAUUCGGCCAGUGCUACCGCCUCCAUCCCGAAGGCGAGGGCGAAAGGGGUCUGGCCCGUGGGGGUCCGGAUGGUCGUGCGGUACGCCCACAUGGUCUCCGGGACUAAGUCCGCCCACUUUCCCGGGUGUUCGCCUACUUUCCUCUUCAGGAUCGAUGUUAUCGUCCUGUUCGUGACCUCUACUUGUCCGUUCGCCUGCGGGUGGUAGACUGGUGCGAAGCUCAACUUGAUCCCACUGUCUUCGCAGAACUCCCUUAACUUCUUGCCCGUGAACUGCGUUCCGUUAUCCGUUAUUAUCUGGAUCGGGAACCCGAACCGGCAGACGAUGUUCCUGAAGACGAAGUUCAGCACGUUCUGUUCGCUAAUCGUAUUUGUGGCCUCCGCCUCGGCCCACUUUGUGAAGUAGUCGACCGCUACGAAUAGGAACUUCCUUCCUCUUGACGCCGGUGGGAACGGCCCUACUAUGUCAAUUCCCCACCUUACGAAUGGGACCGGUGUUGUUACGGCUUUCAUCAUGGUAGACGGCCGCCUCUGGACGUUUGAAUGCCUCUGGCAUUCAUCGCACCGGUCGACGAUCUCUUCCGAGUCCUUUAUUGAUUCGGGCCAGUAGUAGCCUUGCCUGGCUACUUGCUUCUCCAGCGCCCUACCACCCUGGUGCGCUCCAUUCGCCCCCUCGUGAAGGCUCCGUGCGACGGCUUUCCCAUCUUCCCGCGAGACGCAUAGUCGCAGGGGGGCCUCCUCCGCUGCCGACCAUCGGUACAGCUUGCUCUGGGCCACCACAAACCAGGCCGCUUUGUUCUUUAGCUUCCUGGCCUCCAUUGGGUCUGCUGGCGCUUCGCCCUCCUCGAUGAAUCUCUUGAUCGGCGUUCUCCAAUCCCCCGACGUUAUUAUGCCGCACACCUCUAUCGGCUUGGGGCUGCCGGCCAUCGUUGGCCGCUCUUGGUUCUCAAUCCGGAUCCACCUUCCUUCCGCUUUUCCUGGGGAUGCUCCCAGCUUGGCCAACGUGUCGGCCUCCCCAUUGUUCUCUCUCCCUAUCUGAGAGAUCCUCCACUCUUCGAGCUUGCCCAGAGCCGCUCUCGUUUCGGCCACGUAGCUCGCCAUUGAGUCCUCCUUGGAUACGAAGUCCCCUCUGACUUGGUUAGCUACCAGCCGGGAGUCCGUGUGGAAGUGCACCCUGGACGCGCCCAACGCACGAGUUAGCCUGACCCCCGAUAGGAGGGCUUCGUACUCCGCCGCGUUAUUGAUCGCCCGGAACUCGAAGUGGAUCGAAUACUCGAUCUUUUCCCCUGUCGGGGACUUGACCACGACCACCGCGCCGCAGCCGCUGCUGCUGGACGACCCGUCUACAUGGGCCGUCCACCACUGUUCGUCCGUCUUCUCGCCCUCCCUCGGAGUCAGUUUGGCCAUGAAGUCCGCCACCGCUUGUCCUUUAAUCGCCCUUGCCGGCACGAUAACCAGGUGGAAUUCACUAAGUUCCAUGGCCCAUUUGGUCAGUCUUCCCGAAACGUCCGGCUUUUGCAGCAGUUGGAGUAGCGGGUAGGCCGUUGGGAUCGUGACAGUGUGGACGUGAAAGUAUGGCUUCAACCUUCGGACUGCCGAGACCACCGCCAGGGCUAGUCUUUUGAUUUCUGGGUAUCUCUCCUCCGCUCCUAUCAACGACCGGGAAUGGUAAUAUACCGGCCUUUGCGCGCCUCCCGCCUCCGAGAUUAGUACUGCGCUGACGGCCACCUCUGAGCACGCCACGUACAUGGUGAGUGGUUUCCCCCUUGUUGGGGGGCGGAGUGUUGGCAGGCUCGAAAGCUGGAGCUUGAGUUCUUUGAAAGCCGCUUUGCAUUCGUCCGACCAUACCACCCUGGGUCCUGGGUUCCUUAACAAUUGGAAGAAUGGCUUCAAACGGUCCGCCGUUCUUGGCAGAAACCUGCUUAAUGCCGCCACCCUUCCAUUUAGCUUCUGGACUUCUUUCAGCGUCCGCGGGGGGUUCAUAGCCAUAACGGCCUCGACCUUCUCUCCUCUUGGCUCGAUCCCCUCGGGCGUGAUUCGGAAGCCCAGAAAGUGCCCCUCCUUGACCCCGAACACGCACUUCUUGGCCUUUAGUUUGAGCCCUGCUUUCCGGACGUUGGCGAAGGUCUCUUCUAAGUCGGCCAUGUGCGUUCUGGACUCCUUCGAUCGGACGAGUAUGUCGUCCACGUACACCUCCGCGUUUCUGCCUAUCUGUGCCUCAAACACUUUGUCCAUUAGCCUCUGGAAAGUCACCCCGGCGUUGCGUAAGCCGAAAGGCAUUACUUUAAAGCAGAAGGUGCCCAUUUCUGUGAUGAACGACGUCUUCUCCUCGUCUUCCCGCGCCAUGGGCACUUGGUUGUACCCCGAGUGUGCGUCCAUAAAACUCAACAUUUCGCACCCGGAGCUCUGGUCCACUAGCCGGUCCACCGACGGCAGCGGGUAACUAUCCUUGGGGCAUGUUUUGUUAAGGUUGGUGAAGUCGACGCACAUCCUCCAUCCCGCGUCUGCUUUCCUCACCAUUACCACGUUGGACAGCCAGGCGGGGUAACGCACUAGGCGGAUGAAGCCCGCUCGGAGGAGCUUCUUGACCUCUGUCUCGGCCGCCUCCCUUUUUUCCGCCCUUAGCGGACGUAGCUUUUGCCUGACGGGGUGGGCGCCCGGGGCUACCGCGAGCCUAUGCUCCGCCAGCGUCCUAGGCACGCCGCUCAGCUCCCCCAGCUCGUUUGCAAACAGGUCCUCGUUUCUCCUAAGGAGCUGCUCUAGCUCCUGAAAUCCUGCGGGAGGUCCCUUCCUAUUCGCACCUCGCUCCGACCCAGGCCCAUUUGGGUCGUGUGGGACGCUGGCUCAGGCCUCGUGACGUGCUCCCGCAUCGAAUGCGGUAGGCCUUCGCCUGACGUCAUCACCUCGCCGACCGAGUUGAAGUAGUACUCGCGCGCCUUCUUCUGAGACCCCCUGACUGUGCACACUCCCCCUUCGGUUGGGAACUUGAGGCAUUGGUGGAGCGACGACAUUACUGCCUGGAAAGCAUGCAGCGCCGCCCUCCCCAGGAUGGCAUUAUAUUCGGACGUGAAAUUCACGACUGUGAACGUGACUUCGACCAUCUUUGCUUGGGCAUGUCGUCCCAGGGUGAUUGGGAUGGAAAUUGUUCCCGCCACCGGGACUUCUGACUGUCUGAAAUCUCUGAUGGGGGCCCGGCAUGGGAGUAGGUCCGUGCGGGCCAGGCCGAGGUCGACGAAGGCGUUCCAAUACAGUAUAUCCACGGACGCCCCUGUGUCCACCAGGACCCUGUGUAGUCGUACGCUGGACUUGUCCCCUCUUUGGAAGAUGGGGGUUAUGACUAGGGGAUCGUUGUGGGGUGUGGUGUGGUGACGUCCUUCAUAUCGUCCUCCGUGAACGAGAUCUCUAUGUUCGUCCGCGGGCGUUUGGCCCCUGUCGUCCGGUCUACGUCGGACGCGUAUCGCCGCCCCUCCCAUGGGUCGUCGCCUCUCGAAGCCCCUCCUUCUGCGAUGGUGAGGAUGUCCCCUAUCGCUUCGUCCGCUGGCUCUUGCUUCAGCGUUUGGUGUCCCGUGGGUAUUACCGUCGGGCGCCUUGCUGUCGGGGCAGGUGGGGCUCCGGUUGCGGGUUUCAUUUUGUUCAGGACCCUCGCCAGGUUCAGACAUUCGGCCGUCGUGUGGCCGUUAUCCUCGUGAUACUCACAAAAUCUGCGAGUGUCUCUGAACGCUGCCGUGUCCUUCCUCAUUGGCCUUGGCGGGGGCAGGUUUCCCGUUCCGCUCAAUGUGAGGAAGACCUGCCUUUGAUUUGCCGCCGGGGUAGGGCCUACUUCCCUUCGUCCGGCUCCUAACGGGGUGCCGGUCCUGUACACGGGCGCCUGUGGCGCAACCGGGGGCUUGGCCUGCAGUUGUUGAUGCUGAGGCUGGCUCUGCUGCUGCUGCCCCCCCGUGUUUGCGGGGGUGCCUUUCCCCCUCUGUUGCCACCUGCACUCCAGGAUCUUCGCACCCAAGUAGUCUUCCACGUUGCAUUCUCUGUGGGAUCUUUCCAUGGCCUCGGCGAAGGUUCUCGGUGGCUUUCUCACCAGGUCCCCCGCCAUGUACAUGGGUCGGAGGCCGUUUGUGAGGGCGUACAACACCACUUCUUCCGAAAUCCCCUCGAUCUUCUGCACCUCACUCGCGAACUGAUCCAUGUAUGUGCGCGUGCUCUCCGACUCUCCCUGCGCAACGGUACUGAGAGUGGCCUUGAUCUUCGGCCUCCUUCGACGGUGCGGGAAGGCCGCCCGGAACACUGCCACCAGGCCCUCAUAUGUGUGCACGAACCCAGUCGACAGCGUCCUGUACCAGGCUAUCGCGUCGCCCGUCAGGGCCCUGCGAAACAUUCAACACCAAAUGUCCUUCCUGCUCGUCCUGUCCUCCAUGUUGGUCUUGAACGAGUGCAGGUGAUCCUCCGGGUCUGUGUCGCCUUUGUAAUAUGGGAUCUUCGGGGCCCUCUAGCCCAGCGGGUACUCUUCAUCUAGCAAAUGUUGCGCUAGGGCCUCUCCGCCGUCCCCCCCUAAUGCCGGUACUGCAAUGGCUUGCCGGGCCUCCGCGGGUGGGGUAUCGCCCCCAGGUCCCCCGCCCGGGGGGGUAUUGCUCCCGGGUCCUCCAGCCGGGGGGGCCGGUCCGUACAUUGGAUCUCCGGUCCCACCCCCGUCCGACUCCAGGGUGUGGGGGGUCACCGUGAGCUGAUGUACCUGUUCCUGCAGGUGGCGCUGGCUCUCCUGUAGGGUAGAUAUCAGCUCCACGAGCUGCAUCCUUUCUCGCUUGCUCUCUCUUUCCGCGCGCUCCCUCUCCCCCUCGCGCUCCCUUUGUCGGAGCCUCUCGUGCUCCCUUUCCCUUUUCUCCCGGGACCGCGACCGGGACCGCGCUCUCCUAUCCCUUGGUUGGGGCGCCGGCCUGCUUCGCCGGCUCCUUCUGGGCGACUCCCACCCGUACCUUAUCUCCUCGAACUCCAUGCGCAACCUCUCCUCCUGAGCGUCCCACUCCUCGUUGGCCCUUCUUCCGAGUACCGGUCGCGGGAGUGGUGCCGCGCCGGCUGGUACUCCACUGCUGCCCGCUCGGGCCGCUUCGAGCACUCCCCACAUGAUAUUCACUUCUCGUCAUCCUCCUCUUCUCCAGCUGUUGCGUGUUCGUUCACGUCAGGUUCACCACUGUUGGUGUGUGGGCUCGCCUGAGUAAGCUCACUGUCCAACUUAGUACAAGUGGUAACCCUAAGAAUUAUCAACCCCCUCCCCUGUUGGACCAGGGGAGGUAUUUAUAGCUUCCUGUUGCUGAUCUCGGGCCCGUCGUGGGCUCGUGUGUUGGGCUCGUCCACUCGCCUGGGCCGCCGACGGGUCCUGUUCGGUCCGUGGGCCGCAGUCCGCGGUCCAUGGUACCGACAAGUUGAAAGUUUACUAUAAAACUUGAGAGAUUCGUAAACACAGUAGCCUUGAAAGCUUACAGAGGUUCGUAAUCGUGUUAGCCUUGAAACUUACACAAAGGAUAUUCAUAUAAGAUAUUAACUGAUGAGAAUGAGAUGUUAUGUCUCAUAGAUAUAUAAAACUCUAUAUCUAAUAUCUAUGGAUAAAAGAAAUAAUUAAUCAAUUAAUGGAAAUAAACUAAUCAAAUAAAGUCUUAAAGAUGAACUAAACAGUACCAAAUUACCAAUCCAAAUAUAUAUAAUAAAUAUGUUUUCAAGUUUUGCAAACUCACAAUAUAAAACUCACACACCACAAACUCAUAAUAUAAUUAAACUCACAACAUUGCUAAAUUUUUUUUUGCUAUAUUUUAUAAAUCCUCCUCUCUUAUUCCUUUAUUAUAAAUCCUCUUCUUUUUGCAUCGAUUUUUUGCUUGCUGGUCCUCCCAAAGCAAUUUAUUAAACCAUUCUUCGCUACAAUUCAUGGAAUCCAAAUUUGGUGCACUAUUUUCACCCAUAAACAACCGAUUCAAUUUCUCACAAUUCCACACACGAAGAGACUUCAAUGAAUGCCAUUCCAUUUCCGAUUUUUCAUAACACUCUUGUUUCCAGACAUUCUCCAAAUUCGGUAAAUUGCUCAAUUUUAUAUGUCUUAGCUUGGGAAACAAUGUCUUUGCUUUGGAACCUCUAACACCUUGGUCAUCUUUUUCAAUGAUAUUUUCUAACUCAGAACAAAAAAAAAUCUCCAACUUUUCUAAACAUACAACACAUUCUGCCACAUUCCAUGGAAAAAUAAACUUCAAUCGAUUGCAUGCAUAAAUUGAAAUUCUUCCAAGUCUUUCAAACGAUUUGGUGGGUAUUAUGGUUUGAGUUCCAGUAUUCACAAACAUAUUUUCAAUUGCAACCAUCUCCAGAACUAUAUAUUCUAGUUUUGGUAGAAUUGGAUCACUUUGUGUGUUAUAUUGGAUGAGAUUCUUCUAUUUCCUGAAAUAUCCUAGGUCCAGUCUUUUCAAAUUGCACAAUAAUUUCACGAUAUCUUGUUCUAUCACUGAAGAAAUUUCUUGUGUGGCGCAAUUGUCGAAAUCACACAUAGACAAUGCUUUUGUUUUCUCAAUCAAAAGUACUUGUGACCAUUUCGCAAAAUUGCUUAACUGAACAUAAGGAAGGACUAACAUAUUUGAACUCCAAACUCUUGGCUCAUCAUAGGACCUAAUAUAUCUGAUGGAAAAGUAUUCAACUGAUGGGAUAACGAGACUUGGUGCAUAUUCACGAGAAAAGAUAGUUUUAUCAUCUAUAUCAAUAUGAAGUGAGUAUAAAUUUUCCAAAUCUUUUAGCUCCUCAAAUGCCACAUAGUCACCGUCUUCUUGAUUGUAAGCUUUCCAUUUGCUGUAGCUCCCUUGCAUGUAUAAUUCUUCUAAUGUGUCUCUUAGAAUCGAAAAAACUUUCGGUCUUAUGAUAACUAUCACGGUGUUUGAAAAAUCAAUCGAUCUAAGAUGAAUAAGCUUUUUACUAAACUCCUGAUUUAGCUCUGAGAUGUGUACAUUCUGCAAGCAAAGAACUGAAAGAUGUUGCAAGAAGAAAAGGUCUGUUGUAUCGACUGUGAUAUUUUGAUGAAGGGUUUCGAACAUUAGAACACGAAGCUUCGCUAGUUUCUGAAGGCAUGUUUCAGUGAAUUCUUUUAUAGAUAUCGAUGUUCCCCUCAAGUCCAAGAACAAUAAAUUUGCCAUCCUUUUAAAGAAAUCAGGAGGAAUGCUUUCCAAUAUCUUGUUACCAUUGAAUGAUAAAAACUGCACUUCACUACGUAGUUGAUCUGUUAAAUUUAAAUUUUGAAUAGAAGUGAUGAACUUUUUGAUAUUGAAGAAACCUUCGAAUUCAUUCUCCGCAAUAGAAAUAGCUACAUCCCGAAUAACAUCAUGCAUCCUCGCUGAAUUUUUCUUGUCUUCUUUUUCUUCUACAACAUCUUGUAAUAACCCUUUCCUCUUCAAACUUAUAAAUAUAUCACGAUAAGUAUUCAAUGCUCUUUGUCCACGAUAAGUAUUCAAUGCUCUUUGUCCUCUAUCUUUCCUUACACACUUAUCUGCUGGUCCAAUGUCAUAGCAAAUAAAAUCUUUCAAUUGAAUUUCUUGACCUUGAGGAAAUAAGCUACAUAGUAGGAAACCCAUCUUCAAAUCAUCUUCUUCUAGGUCUUCAUAACUAAACUUCAGUGGAACGUACACAUCUUUCACAAAAUUAGACACUUUUUGAGGACAACCUUCACUUAGAAAAUUUAAACACUUAUUCCAUUUAAUCUCUUCUUCUUCUCCACGAAGUGUUUUUGCAACAACUGAUAUCGCUAAAGGUAGCCCUGCACACUUUCUACAUAUUUCUUGUGCUAUAUGGUUUAUUCUAAGAUGAUUAGGGUUAUUAUUAUCAUCAAUAUAGGAAUAUUUUCUGAAGAACUUCAAAGAUUCAGUUUCAUCAAGUCUUGCAUUCAUCUUGAUCUGUUCGGCCCCCAGUCUCUGACAAAUAUCUUGGUCUCUGGUUGUCAGAACAAUCUGACAACGUAGAUUUUCAUCAUUAAUGUCGAUACCGAUAUCAGUAAAGUUUAGAUCAUCCCUUACAUCAUCGAAUAUAAUCAAACUUACAAUUCUUUUCAAAUGAUAUGAAAUUAUUCCUGCUCUGACACGGAUCUCAUCUUUAGUCUUGAAUUCUUUUAACUCUUUAGUGGAGUAAAAACUACGAGCGAUAUUAUUUUGGAUGGUCUUGGUAUCAUUGUGUGAUACUGUUACCCAAAUAACAAAAAUGUUACCCCUUUGUCCCAUUUCAUUGUUAAUCUGCUGCAUCAAUGUGGUCUUCCCAAUUCCUCUCAUUCCCCACAACCCAAUCACUCUUUUAUUAUCUAAUGCUGCAUAUACUGAAUUUUUAGUACCUUCAAUAGAGUCAACUGAUAUGUAGUCGAUGGGUUGAUGCUCCACACCUUGCAAAUAACCGGCCUAACAACGCAAUCUUCUAAGCAAAUCCCUUAACUGAGGAGAUAGAAAUUCCAAACAUCGUGGUACACCCCAAUCUACCACUGCUAAUACUGCCUGUUUUACUAUAGGUAAUAUGCAAGCUGACACCAUCUAGAGUCCCCUCACUGCAACAAAUACACUUUCAAUUUUGUUAUUAUCGAGUAAAGUUAAAUAUAAAGAUUGGAUUUUUAAUAGAAAUAUAAAUCCAUAAAUUAAAAACACUAGAUAUAGAUAACAUAAAUCCAUAAUAAAAAAAGUAACUUAAAAACUCAAAUAUAAAAACAUAUAAAAACAGUAACUAAUUAAAAACUAAAAUAGAUAAACUCUAAACCCUAAACUAAAAACUCUUAACCCUAAACUAAAACACCCAAAAAUACAUAAACCCUAAAAUACACAAAUCCCAAAUACAUAAACACUAAAAUAGAUAAAACCCCUAAAUACAAUAAUCAAAUAAACCCCAAAUCAAAAUAAAUAAAUGAAGAUCAACAUUAAAUCAAUAUUUAACAUAAAUAAUCACAAAAUCAAUAAACCCCAAAUCAUAAAAAGAAGAUUACAUGAAGAAGAAAAUAGAAGAAUACAUGAAAAAUAAGAAGAAAAACGGGAAUAAGAAGAAGAAGAAGAAAUAAAUCAAGAAGAAGAGAGAAAGAUGAAGAAGAAGAUGAAAAGAAGAUUUACCUUUGAUGACCACAAGAAGAUGACCGGAGUGGAGUUGGGGAAGCCUAGAUCGUCGGAGGAGAGUUGGGGAAGAUUAGGGAGGAGUGGAAACGAUUUGGGGGGAAAUGAAAGAAUCUGGAUUUUUUUUCUUAUAUAAAAAAUUUCCGGCGGCCAGGCCGCCAGGAAAUACUUAAGUUCGAGUUGACUACGUUUGACUAUACGAGGGACCACGACAGCGCAAGUUGUAAUUUUAGGGUUUCUAAAAAAUCCUAGCGACCAGGCCGCCGGCUACUAAAAAAAUAAACGGGAAAAAGUAUCCAGCGGCCAAGCCGUCAGAAAUUUCUCUCCCGACCGUUGAGGGUUUUAGGAUACCGUCGGCCUAGUCACCGGCUCACUUCUUCCCGACCGUUGGGGAAAUUGGAGCUGGCGGCCAGGCCGCUGGAUUUUUUUACAAAAAAAUAUACCGUCGGCCUGGCCGCCGGGAGAUGGGCGCCAGAAUUGUGCUGGUUUUUUGUAGUGGACGACCGCAGCAGCGUCGGCAACAACUUUGGAAGUGGCCUGGGUCGCCUCGACCACCCCGUCCACAUAAACCCGAUGCGCCUCGACGUCUUUGGAAGCAUCCUCCACCAACUGAUCCCGCUUUUUGAGAGCAGUCGAGAGUUCACCCGUCAAGCGACCGACCUGGUCUUACAAUUGCGUUAACUCCUCAGCCUGAUCGGUGCCCCGCUGAAGACGGAUCCUCGAAAGAGCGGAGAGGUGGAGCAGCUGAUGGUAGAAAUCACGGUUGAGAUCCGGGAGGUCACGGAAGAACUGUCUCUGAUACUCUUCCUCUUUUUGCAUCCAAGACUCGAUGUUGUUGUAGCUCUCCAGAAGUAUCCCAGCGAGACGGGGAACAGACGAAGAGGGUUCGACCUCCGAAACACGAUCGAGGAACUUAGAUGAAAUAACGCAGGAGUUAAGCAACGCCUGAAAGUUGUGGUCCUCCAGACCCUCGGACAAGUCGACUCUCGAGCGCUCAAGCCCCCUGCUCACCGCCCGAAUGGGGUUUUUCAGGAGAAGAGGCGGGGUUUUCUUCUUCUUCUUCUUCUUCUUCUUCUUCUUCUUCUUCUUCUCGACAAUCACUUUCCUCUUCUUCUUCUUCUUUUUAUCCUUCCGCGAAUCAACAAGGACAACCUCAAAACCGGCAUUGGAGCGUGCAGGCGAAGGAGACAAAACUGGGAUCUCUUCAGAGGACCAUUUUUUAUCCAUCUGAAGCGGGACAUCUCGCUGGUAAUCCAACCGAAGUGCCAACUUCAUAUGUUUGUCAAAGGUCCAAGACGACCCCAAUACUCGCGAACAUCCACGGCCCUCGAUGAAAGACACGGAUGAGCACCUCGUGCGCGUUCUUUUCCUAAGGCUCCAAGUCAGCCAUGGCAACGGGGGUCAUGCGGGUCUUCAGCAUACUAAGAAGGGCCCAUCGGGUCGAAGGCGGCGAGUCAACAUCAAUCGGGCCAAUGACUCCCACCGACACGAGGAAGUAGCGAUCGCGCCAAUUAUGGGAACGAUCGAUUAUGUGGUCUAGGAUCGGAUACCCCGCACGCCCGGAGAUCAGCACACGUCGAGGGUCCGUGGGCAUCGAGAGAAACUGGUACCAAAUCCGGAACACGGACAACGAGACCUCGAUCCCACACUCCUGACAGAGCAAGGAAAAGGUGGUGAGGUGGUCAAUGACGGCCGGAGGGAGUUGCGAGAACAUCACUCCGCAGUAGCGCACCAUUUCAUUCAGAAAGGGAGAAAGGGGCAACUUCAGACUAGCAUCGGCGUACGGAGUGUAGAGAGAAAUCAUGCCGGACGGCGGACGAGAAGCGAGCUGGCCUCCCGCCUCCUCAAACUCGAUAACAUCAGGGCUUAUCCGCGCCAGCUACUCGUGGAUGGCCUCGAUGGUAACGACUGUCGGUGGGUCUUUGAUGUCGGGCAAAUCAAACAUUCCGGUGAGGAUAUCCAUGCCAGAACAGCGGCGAUCGACUAAUCGAUGGUUGUCGGAAGAGUGGCCAUCACAAACCUAGAAGGAGAAACCGAAGAAUGGAGAGCGGGAGAAGGGAAGAACAAAAGUGGAAUGUGAAAAGUGAAGAAAAGAAACGGAAGGGGGGUUAUAGUAUGAGGUCCGACACACAGACCACGAUAUUAAAAGACGUAUCCCAAAAUAUCGAACACGUAAAGGAGGGGGGAAUACUGGUGAUACAGUAUCCCGAACUUGGUCACCACGCACCAGCAACUAAAGAUUCGGAUCACUUCCUGGUAGAGAUCAAGCUUAACUAUUGUAUUUUAUUUAUUUUUAUCUGCCUAAAACAAUAUUUACUAUGUUUGUAUGCUUGUUUGUUUUUAGGAGAUCUUCACUAAUUUUGAUUGAAAAAUCUCUUUUGUUAAGAGAUAAUCAAGUGAAGAUCAUAAAUAGUUAUGCUUAAUCUUUGCUCGUUUAAGCUACUUGAUGUGUUUUAUUUCAGUAUGUUUUAUUCAAGUUAUCUUAUUUAUGCUUAAGCUAUAUUUGAUAUGUUCUCCUUAUAUAUUGCUUAAAUUAUAAUAUUUAUCUUGUUUUAUACUUAAGCUACAUUUGAUAUAUCUUCUUUAUAAUUGCUUAAGUUAUAAUUGUAGAAUUUAUUUUAAAUGCAUGCUCUAUAUGCCUAUGUGAUUUUUACAUGCAACUAUCAUAUUCAAUACUUUACAUCAUUACAUACUUGUAUAUGAUAACAUGCACUCACGUUUAAUACAUGCAUGUUAAAACAUAAACCCAUAAUAUAAUUGAUUAAUUUUAUCAAAAAAAUCAUUUAGAAAAUUUAGGGGUUUAAAUGCAAAAAAUCACAUGCAUAUUGAGAUGAUAAAUAUUCCAUUUAGUCCAUUGCAUUUAACUUAUAUUUAUUGGGCUAAUACAUAUAUCUCAAUAGUUCAAGUCGAUUUUCAUAAAUAUAUAUAUCACUUGGAUUAGGGCAAAUGCAUAAAAAGAUUCUCAAGUCAUUCAAGUCAUUUACGUGAAAUUAUUUCAUCUAUGCAAAAAUAGAAAUUCACGUAAAAUAAUUUGGAUAUAUGCUUAAUGGAUAUCUUAUGAUCCAUAAUGGGCAAAUACUUUAUUUUAAAUUAAUUGGCCCAUAUUAUAUGACUUUCUAAAAUAAUUGUUACUAUCUAGAAAAGUCAAAGAAACAAGGUUAAAGUCAAAAUUCGGAACACCUCUUUGUUAUAUUGCAAGGGGAGAAAGACCCAGGUAUGAUAUAACCUGAUAUAGGCCAUGAACGUUUCUUGAAAACGGAUUUAACAGAUUGAAGUAAUCUGUCCAGAAUGAUGUCACGAAAGCAAUGAAACAAUAAUUCUUGAUUAGGGUUUAAACUCCCUUGAGAAUCGAUUGAAGAUUGAACGAUUAUCCCAAUCCAAGGAUAAUCGAUAAUUGUGAAUUGGAAAGAAUUGUAGAAUCUAUGGAAAUAAAGGAAGAAAUAAAUAAAUAAAAGAAGAAUUAACGUUGACAAAUACCUAGAAUAAAAUAAAACUCAACUAGUCUCCACCUUUAGGGUCCACUUAUAUUUAUACUCUCAUUGUUUAAGAGUGGAAAGUCUACCAUGAGAGUCCAAGGGCUCGAUUAGAAUCGAGUCUAUUAGUAAUGCAAGCACUUAUAAGGACUGCAUCAGGCGACCCAUCUUGGAAUACAAUUGUCCUUAAUUGGUUGUCUUCCUCUGCAGGUAGAUAAUAUAUUCUUAAAUUUGCCACAUUGAAGGUUGAUGACAUGUUGAAUUCUGGAGGUAGAUCUACUAUAAAAGCAUUGUCACUAAUCUUCUUUAGUAGCUUGCAAGGUCCAAAAUUCCUGUCCUUCAGUUUAAAAUAAGAUCUUGCUGGAUAUCUGUCUUUUUUUAAGUGAACCAUUACCAAAUCAUUUUCAUUGAAAGUCCGAAAUCUUCUAGACCUAUCAGCUCUUUCCUUGUAGAGAUCAUUGGCUCUGGUUAUUGAUUCUUCUACUUGCUUGUGUAUUAAUUUGCUGGAUUCUAUAAUAUCUUCUACCUUCUUAUUUACUGAAGGUGUGGAGGUAACUGUAGAAUCAAAAUUAUCGAUAUAGGAUUAUAUUUUAAUCAUGUUAAUUUUAACCCUAAUUACACUAUUGAUCUAACGGUUAAAAUUAGUCAAGAUUAAACCUAUCUUAAAUUAAUUAAGUUAAAGGUUUAGUCAAAGUCAAAUAAGUACAAUUGCAUAAAACACCUUGAAUAUAAUUAUUAUUGUUAUCUAACAUUUUAUUCAAGGUACAAUAACUAAUGAACAAGAGAUACUAUUCACAAAGAAAUCUUCUCAAGGGGACAAAGAUAGCUUUAUUAGAAAUUAUUAUUCACAAAAGCAAGCAUCUACUAUUCAUAAAAGAAUCUUUCCAAGAAAAGAGAAGACAAGUCUUGGACUUUUGUGAGGAAUCAAGGAACCAUCCAUUGAAGAUCCAAGGGUUGACAAGUGAUGACCUAGGCUAUAAAUAGAAGGGCAAACCCUCCAUUUUCGUCCACCACACUUCAAGCACUUCAAAGAGUUUUUCGGUCCUCAUCUUGAGAUCUACAAAGUGUUCUUGCUUCCAAGUUUUCAAGCUUCCAAAAGCUCUCAAGUGUUCUAGCUUCCAAAAGCUUCAAAAUUAAAGCUCUCCAACUUCUACUUCUAACCUUUUUGUUCAUCUUUACAAGUAAAAAAAUUUGUGUGUUUAAUAUUCCACUCCUCUAAUCAUCUCUUGUGUGUGUCCACUUUAGUUGAGAGGUUUGUCUCAAGAUCACCAAAGUGUUAAAGAAGGUUUUUGAGCUAAACCAAAAAGCUCUAAGUUUGGUUUUAUAGAGUUUCCGGAGAAAACUCUUAGAUCGAAUCUACUUUGAAAGAUUUCUAAGUUUUUAAGAGUUCCUUGAUACUCUAAGGUCCUAACUUACCCGUAAAAGUUAGAGGUUUUUAAGAGUUCCAUAAUACUCUAAGGUGUGAGUCUACCCGUAAAAGACUGAUUUCUAAGCGAAGUUAGCCUUAAAGCUUAGAGAGGUUCUUAAGAGUUUCCUUGAUACUCUAAGAUGUGAGUCUACCCGUAAAAUUAAAGACUGGUUCCUAAGCGAAGUUAGCUUUAAAGCUUAGAAAGGUUUUUAAGAGUUUCCUUGACACUCUAAGGUUUUGCCAUAACCUUUAGGCUAGUGAACUCGGAUAGUUUGUCGGGACUGGAUUAGCCCUUGUUUGGAUGAACCAGUAUAAAAUCUCUUGUGUUGUUCUCUGUUAACUUUAGUAUUUAUCUAUCAUCUAAAAACUGCCAAACAACACUUAAUUUAACGGAUCCCUCUUUCAGUUACCUGGUCAAGAAUAGAGGUUGACUACUUUCCGCAGAUCUCUCAUCCAGUUAUCUGGUCAAGCAUCUGAGGUUAUUUUUAUUGUUCAAAUCUCUAUCCAGUUAUCUGGUCAAGUAUUUACUUAACAUUUUAUAUCCAGUUAACUGGUCCUUUACUCUAUAUUAUAACGUGCACUUAUAAUAUAACUUAGUAUCAAUAUACUACACUAUCUAAUAAAGCACUAUCUAAUAAGUUGACUCAGUAUUCAUAUACUGAAGUAAACUUUGAAGAGAAAAGGCAAGUUCAUAUAUAUGUAUAUAUAUAUAUAUAAUAUUAUAUUGUAAGAUAUAAUAUUAUAAUCAUUUUUAUUGUUGAUCAACCAUUUGUGUAUUAAGUGUUUACAGGUAAUUUCGCAUUUAACCUGUCCAAAUCGAAAAGAGGCUAUUAUCCCCUCUUAUAGCCUCGGAUCACGAUCCAACAGUAACAUUCAUUAUAUUCUUUGGAAGGUGGCCAUAGGCAGCUACAAAAGGUGCACAUCCCGUUGAUCUAUUUGGCAUGCAAUUAAAGGCAAAUUCCGCUUAAGCUAAAUGUUGAUCCAACUGUUUUGGUUGUUUCCCUCCUAGUGCUCUUAAUAGAUUUCCAAGUGACCUGUUAACUACUUCUAUUUUUCCAUCAGAUUGUGGGUGACAUGUAGAACUGAAUUUCAGAUUUGUGUCAAAUCUCUUUCAUAAAAUUCUCCAAAAGUGAGAUAGAAAUUUUGUGUCCCUAUCUGAUACGAUGCUACUUGAAAUGCCAUGAAGUCUUAUAACCUCAUUGAAGAAUAAUUUUGCAAUGUGAGAAGCAUAAUUUGUUUUUUUACAAGCAAUAAAGUGCACCAUCUUCGAGAAUCUAUCGACUACUACAAAAAUAGAAUCCAACCCUUUACUAGUUUUAGGUAGCCCAAGGACAAAAUCCAUAGAAAGGUUAGUCCAUAGUUUUUUAGCUACUGGUAAAGGGGUGUAAAUACCACUAUUCAGACUAGUGCCUUUUGCUUCUUGACACCUAGGACAUCUUUGCACAAAUUUUUCUACUUCUUUUCUUACUCUCGGCCAAUAAUAUCUGCUUUCUACUUGGGCUACUGUUUUAUCUCUCCCAAAAUGGCCAGCUAAUCCUCCCGAGUGUAAAUCCCUUAUUAAUUGCAGUCUCAAGGAUGUCUGAGGAAUGCAUAAUCUAUUUUCCUUGAAAAUAAAUCCUUCAUUGAUUUUGAAACCCUUAUUGUGUUUUUUCUGAAGGCAUUCCUCCCAAAUUCUCGAGAAAUCUUCAUCAGUAGGAUAUAAUUCUUUUAGACAAUCAAACGCUGCCACCUCUAAUCUUAGGACUGUUAAUAAAGAAUUUUUUCUGCUUAAUGCAUUGGCUACCUUGUUACUUGCACCAGAUCUAUGCUUUAUUGUAAAUUUGAAUCUCUGUAAGAAGGAAAACCAUCUGAUGUACAUUCUGUUAGUAUCAAAAGUUCCAUUUAUCUGUUUCAAAGCUAUAUAGUCAAUAAGGACUACAAACUCUCUCUGAAUUAAAUAAGGAUCCCACACCUUGCAUGCUCUGACAACAGCAAAUUUUAAUUCUUGCUCGUAUGUGAUCUAAUUUUUUCUGCUUGCAGUGAGUUUCUCACUGUGAAUUGCUACUGGAUGACCACUCUGACUUAGUACUGCGCCUACUCCAGAAAUGCUGGCAUCACAUUCUACUUCAAAAAAAUUAGAAAAAUCCGGAAGAGCCAAUACUGGUGCUGUUUGGAGUUUAUUUUUUAAUUUCCGAAAAAUGACUGAAGCCACAUCUGUCUGAAUUUCCUUUUCUUUAAACAGUCUGUUAUGGGACUAGCUAUUGAACUGAAAUUUUUUAUAAAUCUCCUAUAAAAAGAGGUUAGGCCCAUAAAACUACGUACCUCAGUGACUGAAGAAGGUGCAUGCUGGCCAAUUUUGUAGUGCUUCAGUUUCUCUUGGAUUCAUUUUCAUUCCAUGUGUCCCAAUGAUAAAUCCUAGAAAGCAUAGUUCCUCCGUAAAAAAUCGCACUUUUUCAGAUUUAAUUUUAGCUGAUUUUUCUCUAAUAAUCCGAAAACUGAUUUUACAUCUUUAAUGUGGGCUUCUUUGCUUUUGCUAAAUACUAAGAUGUUAUCAAAAUACACCACGACGUAGUUUCCUAACAAUGGUUUCAGUACCUCAGUCAUCAAUCUCAUGAAUGUUGAUGGUGCAUUGGAUAAUUCAAAUGGCAUCACCAUCCAUUCAUACAAGCCUUUCCUGGUUUUAAAAGCUGUUUUCCAUUGAUCCCCCUCUCUAACUCUGAUUUGGUGGUAGCCACUCUUUAGGUCCAUUUUAGAAAAAAAAUUAGCUCCUGCCAAGGCUUCCAAGAGCUCAUCCAGUCUUGGAAUAGGGAAUCUGUACUUCACCGUGAUUUUGUUUAUCGCCCUACUAUCCACGCACAUCCUCCACUCUCCAUUUUUCUUUGGGACUAAGAGUACAAGUACGGCAAAGGGACUUAAACUCGUUCUGAUCAAACCGUCUACUAGUAGUUGUUCUACUUGAUUCUGAAAAAUUUCAGCCUCUUUAGGUCCUAAUCUGUAGUGGGGCAGAUUAGGUAGAGAUGCUCCCGGAAUCAAGUCUAUUCUUGGUCAAUUUCUCUCUCAUGUGGUAGUGAUACUACUGAAUUAUUUAAGGAGAUAAGUGGAAACUCCUUCAGAAUUUGAUGUACUUCCUUAGGUAAUUCUUUUUGCUCAAUCUCUUCUUUUUCCAGACUUUUUAUUACUAGAGCUAACCCCAUAUCUUCAUUUCUCAGUUCUUCAGAAAAAUCAGACCUCUUUUGUAAUAGGAAAUUUGUGUUUAUAGCCUUUUUGCAAGUCGACUCAGGAGGAAGUGGUAGUAGGGCAAUCUUCCUACCAUCAGCUUGAAAAACAUAGGUGUUUAAUUUCCCAUGGUGAGUGGCAUUUACAUUAUAUUGCCACGGUCUGCCCAAAAGUAUGUGUGUUGCAUCCAUAUCAACUACAUCACAUACUAAUGUAUCGUUGUACAUCUUGCCAAUGGAUAGUGGGACUUUGCACAAAUAUCUAAUUUUUGCUCCCUCACUAUUUUUGAUCCAUCCUAUUGUAUAAGGCUUAAGGUGUUCUUCAAGGUUGAGUUCUAACUUUUUUGCUGCCUUCUCAGAUAUUAGGUUGUCUGUACUCCCAUUGUCUAUUUUUAUCUGACAAACUUUCCCUUAAACUGUUUCUUUGGUGCGAAAUAAAUUUGUCCGUUGAAUCUGGUAAGGAAUUUUAGGAGUGUGAAAAGAUCUAUGGAUCAAGCAAGAUAGACUUGAUCCUUCAUCGGGGUCAUACUCUUCUGCGGCCUCACUGGACUCAUCUGAAUUAAUGCCGUCUUCAUUCUCUCUCAACCCUUCACAGAAUUUUACAAAUCCCCUCCUAGGGUAGUUAUUAGCUUUGUGGCCCAUUUCAUGGCAUUUAUAGCAUCUUAUUGUGCUCCAAACAUGGUCUGUGACCCUUGAUUUUUUUUUCAUUCAGAUCUGUAUUUUUCCCUUCAGGCGUUGGCAGAAUUCCUUUGUCCUUGGAAUAGAUAGGUUUACUAGUUGAAGCUCCAAGUGAAAAUGAUGAGUACUUGUUUGUCUCUUUAGUUGUUCGGAGAUGCUUACAGUCUUCAUAAGUAAUAUUGGGACUGUAAAAUGACUUUUUCUUGAAGUGUUGAUUUUAAUCCCCCAAUGUAUCUCUCCAUUUGUUGUUCUUCAGAUUCAUUAAGGUUGUUUCUUGCUCCCAACCUAUGGAACUCCUCUGUAUAAUCAUAUACUGAACUCUGUCCAUGUCUGCAUUUCUGAUAUUUUGUAAAUAAAAUCGUUUGAAAUUCCACCGGAAGAAAUCUUUGUUUUCGCAUUUUCUUCAACUUGUCCCAAGUUCUUAUAGGUCUUUUUUGGAAUCUAGCCCUAUUCAUGGUGGUAUGAUCCCACCACACAGCAGUUCCACUUUUAAAUUUUAGUGCCACUAAUUUCACUUUUUUCGAAUCUGGAAUUUCCAUGCAGUCGAAGAAUCUUUCUACUUCUGAAAUCUAAUCUAAAAAUUCUUCUAUAUGUAACUGCCCAUUGAAUUCAGGCAGUUCCAUUCUUAAUCUAUAAUUCCCAAAUUCAUUUCUUUAAUUUCCUCCAUUGUACUCUUCAUACCUUUGUAAUGCUCCCCCUCUUGGAUAGUCUCGACGGCUCCUAUUUCUUCUUCUCUCGUACUGUAAUAAAUCUUUUUCCUCCUCUGAAAAUUCCUCCUCAGUCUGUCUAUUAAAAAGUCCUCCCUGUCUGAAAUUUUCUUCCUGUCUGAAAUUGUCACUCACUGCCUGAAAUUUUCCUCUUGCCGGAUCUGUUCUUCCAAGCGCUCCCUAACUGUGGGUGGGUUUCUUCUUCUGAAAUUUAUUGUCGGUUCUGCAUGUCAAUUCACUGCCGGAUCUUCUCCUCCAUGCGGCUGAAUAGGUUGCAAAUUCUGUUGCAUUGUUUGGAAGUCGUCCCUAACAAAGGUUGUCAUAUCUGUUAGGGCUUUUGCCAACCUCUCAAACUCUUCACGUGUGACGUUCUCGGCCAUCACUUGAUUUUGUUCUCACAAUUCCGUCCAGAACAGAUCGCAAUUCCUGUCUAGAACAAAUCGCAAAUCACUUAUUUUCAACUCGCAAAUCCGUCCAGAAAUAAAGAUUAAAUCCAUCCAAAUCGCAAAUUCAAAUAGUGGUGUUCCGCAAAUUGGCUAUCCUUGAUUAUCCUUGAUUUCUAGAUCGCAAAUCACUGGAGUAAAUCCACAACUCACUGAAAUAAACGGAUUUCUUAAAUAGCAAAUCACUGGAAUAAAUCGCUAGGAUUUUUUUCCCUCACGUGUUCUGGUUCUUCACAACCACUGCAAAUCAUAAAUCGUCCAGAAUCGCAAAUGCUUAACUCGCAAAUCCAGAAUGCACAGUUUGAAAAAAACACAAAUCAAGAACGCACAACCUCAAACCGUCCUAGUCUGAAAAAAACGCAUAGUUUCGUCUGGAAAAAAACGCAAAAUCACAAAAUGUAAUUCCGUCCAGGUGAAAAAAUCGCAACUUGAUAUUCUUGGCCAACUGCAGAUCGCGAAACCCUUCUAGUCUGAUACCACUUGAUGUAGGCCUUGAACGUUUCUUGAAAACGGAUUUAACAGAUUGAAGUAAUCUAUCCAGAAUGAUAUAAAGAAAGCAAUGAAACAAUAAUUCUCGAUUAGGGUUUAAACUCCCUUGAGAAUCGAUUGAAGAUUGAACGAUUAUCCCAAUCCAAGGAUAAUCGAUAAUUGUGAAUUGGAAAGAAUUGUAGAAUCUACGGAAAUAAAGGAAGAAAGAAAGAAAGAAGAAUUAACGUUGAGAAAUACCUAGAAUAAAAUAAAACUCAACUAGCCCCACCUUUAGGGUCCACUCAUAUUUAUACUCUCAUGGUUUAAGAGUUGAAAGUCUACCAUGAGAGUUCAAGCAAUUUUAUUGGGCUUGGUCCAAGGCUCGAUUAGAAUCGAGCCUAUUAUUAAUGCAAGCACUUAUAAGGGCUGCAUCAUAACCUUAGUUUGUAUUUGUUCUACCCCUGGUAUAUGUCUUACCUAGAUCUCACCUGCACAUACUCAUAAAAGCUUUAGACAAGGUAAAAAUUUAAAUUACUUUAUGAGUGCAAUAUUUACGAAAUAUAGGUGGAGUAAGACAAGGUAAAGUUAAGAUAUACCAAAAUGUUAAAAUUAGGAUUUUGAAAUUUCUUGACAACAAAUAUGCCAUUAACAAAUGGGGAGAAUGUAGAAACAAGAUUCUUAAUGACAUAUUUAGUUGUUAAUUAAUCUUAAUUAUAAUAAACCCUAAUUAACAAGAUAAAGAAAUAUAUGAGUUAAAAUUGCAUAGAUAAAUUUAUUGAACUCAUAUAAAUAAAAUUGACUUGAUACAUGAUUAAAUCAAAAUGAUAUUAGCCUUAAUUAUUUUCAUCAAAUAAAUCUCUAUAUUGAUCAAGUUAAUUAUUGAAGCUUGUAUUUAUUUAUGCACACCUACUUGUUUAAAUUAACUCUUGUUUUCAAGUUGCUUAAUAUCUUAAAGGUUAAUCAACAUGGUGUGAGAAGCACAACUAUCUAUGCAAGCUUCAAAGAAACUCAAGAUGUAGAAAACUUGCAGAAAAACAAUCAUGACAAAGAUUUCAAGAUCAAAUCCGACAAAUUAACUACAAGGAUCUUGAAUUCAAUGCUACACAAAAUCCUAGAUGAAGAAUUCAAAAAUGGAGAGGAGAAAAAUGUGUGGAAGGUUCAAUCUCCCAAGAUCAAAUCCAACCAAGAUUUUGGAUUAAAUGCUACACAAAAUCCUAGAAUGUGAAUUCAAAAUGAAAAAGAGCUCUCCACCAAUGAAGUCACCAAUGAAGUGUUUUUGAAUCUCUUCUUCAUAGGUGUUCAAGAGUUAAAGAAAUUUACCUUCAUGCCACCAACGUCUAUAUAUAAGGAGGGGCACACCCAAGAGCAAAGUCAUCACUUACCAUCUUUGUUAAAGCUCUCUUUGGAAUCAAAGCUCUACUUUCUAACUCUCUUGCUCAAGCUCUAGCUCUCAGUUAAGCUUUGUGUGGAAGUUGCUCUCAAGGUUGUGUGCUUUAUUUCUUCAACUUCUUCUUCUUUUCCUCUCGUGUAUGUCAAGAGUGUGUUAGAAGAAAAAGCUCAUCAUCUUGUAAGUGUUCUAAUUGUUGUGAGAGGUGUAUCUCAACAUCAACACUUGUAAGGUUCAACGAAUUCAACCUUAAAACUCGGUGUGGUUCUAUAGAGUUUCCGGAAAACUCUUAGGUUGAAUCUGCCUUAAAGGUUCAAAGGUUUUUAAGAGUUCCUUGAUACUCUUAGGUGGUUCGUAAGCGUUUAUCCUUAAAGUUGCAGAGGUUUUUAAGAAUUCUUUGAUACUCUUAGGUGAUUCACAAACGUUUAGCCUUAAAAUUUGUAAAGGUUUUGUCAUUACCUUUAGGCUAGUGAUCUCCGUGUUUUAUCGAAACUGGAUUAGCCCUUGUUUGGGUGUCCCUUUUUAUUUUCCGCUUUCAUAUUUUUAAAGUUAUAUCAAGAUAAAAAGGAACUAAAAAGAGAUCCCUCAUCCAGUUAUCUGAUCAUAGAUUGAGGUUGACUAUUUUCUUACAGAUCCCUCAUCCAGUUAUCUGGUCAUUGACUGAGGUUAUUUUCAGUUAAAAUAUAUAUCCUUAUAUAUUUUAACUUAUAUUAUUAUUUUCGUGCUUAUAAAAAAACUUAGUAUUCAUAUACUACAGUUGGCUUAAAAAACACUCACUGUCAAGUUAAAAUAUAUAUCCAGUUAACUGGUCACUUAUAAUAUAUUUUAAAUGUGUGCUUAUAAUAUAACUUAGUAUUUAUAUACUACAGUUGUUUAUAAAGCAUGAUCUGAUAAGUGGACUCAGUAUCUAUGUACUGCAGUAAACUUAGAAAGAACAGACAAUCUUUUUAUAUAUCCUUGUCUCUAACUUGUAUUCUCAAGUAUUCCGCAAAUCUACUAAGAAAUUACGAAAAGAGGUUAUAACCCCCCUUAAUCUCAGAUCAAGAUCCUACAAGUGGUAUCAGAGCCAAGUAGGUUAUUAGCAGCUUCACAUCUGUUUCUAACAUGGCACAGGAAGAACAAGAAUACCAAGAUUUUGCAUCAAACAAACCUCCUAUCUUCGAUGGAACCAGGUAUGAAUUAUGGAAGAAAAAAAUAAGGAUUCAUUUGAUGUCGCUGGAUAGUGAGAUAUGGAAAGUCACUCAUGAAGAAUAUGAGGCUCCAACUACGAAAGAAGAUGAAUGGACUGCUCUUGACAAACAAAGGUAUAGAUUCAUUACAAGGGCAAUGAAUGCACUGUAUGGAGCGUUGGAUGAAUCUGAGUACAGUUCCAUCCAGGUGUUCGACACAGCUCAUGACAUCUGGAAGCAGUUGGAAACCAUUCAUGAAGGUACAUCUCACGUAAAGGAAAACAAGCUUCUACAUGCUCACAGGGAAUACGAGAACUUCACCAUGAAGGAAGGAGAAACCACCGCUGAAAUGAACAGAAGGCUCAUCAACAUCGUCAAUGAUCUAGCUGGUCUAGGCGAACCUGUCAGCGAAAAGAAUCAAGUUGGAAAAAUUCUAAGAAUCCUUCCUGAUAAGUAUGAUUCAAAAAGAGAUGUCAUCCAAGGAGUUCACAACUUGAACAAGCUUCGUGUAGUGGAGCUGAUCGGAAAUCUGAUGGCAUAUGAACAGAUGAAGUUUACACCUAAAGAGAAGCAAAAAGAAGAGUCUAGCCCUUCAAGCAGCAUCAUAAGUCGACAGUCAAUCUGAUAAAGAUGAACUUGCACUUAUCACUGCAAAACUAUUUAAGCUGAUCAAAAAAAGAAAAGAAUCUAAAGCAAGCAGCUCGUAUCACAGAUCACACAAGUCAGACCCACCACAACAGAAAGAAGCAGAUAAGCAACAAGAGGAAAUCUGUUACAAAUGUAACAAGACUGGACAUAUAAGACCCAAUAGUCCAAACUAUAAAGAUACUGCUCAUCAAGUAAGCUGGUCUGACACUGAUGAAGACUUUGAAGCUGAUGAAUGUCUAAUGGCCAACGACUCAGACACCCAGGUCAGUUUUUACGAUUAUCAAAAAUUAGAAACAUCAUAUCUAGAGCUAGCUAGUAUCUAGAUAUAAAUAUGAAAAGAAUUUAGUUAAAUCAUUAAAAGAAAAAUACAUGCAAAAUAUUAGCUCUUCUGAUAAUCAUGAAUUAGAAAAACUUAAGACUGAAAAUGCUGCUCUAACAAAAAGAUUAAAAUCCAGAGAUAAAGUUGUAGAACAACUUAAGGAGCAAAAUUUAAUUCUUUUAUAUCAUAUUGAGUCCAUGGAAGAACCUUCUACUAUGUAUCUAGAAGAAGUGGAAAAACUAAAAAAUAAACUAGAUAAAAAGGAGAGUGUGAUUAAAACACUUAAGGAACAUAACCUUAUCCUUAUAGAUCUUGCAGAACAAGUAAAAGAACCCUCUUCUGUACAUCUAGAAAAUGUAGAUCAAAUAGAAAGCUUAAAAGAAAUAAAUCUAUAUCUAGAGACAAACCUAAAAUCAUUAACAAGAAAACUAGCUAUGCAUGAAGAAAUGAUUCUAAGAUGUGAAAAUAAGGAGAAAUGUCUAAUACAUGAAAAGGAAGAUCUUUUAGUAGACAUUAAUUCACAAACAUUUUACAUAAAAAAUUUAGAAAGGAAAAUAUGUGAAUAUAAACGAGACAUUUCAAAAUUUACAUAUAGUUCAAAAAUGCUUGAUGAUAUGAUCGAAAAAUCCAACACUAGACUAGGCAAGCCUAGUUUAGGAUUCGGUCAUGAGUCUCCUUCCCCAAGUACAUCUGUGAUGUACAAUAAAUAUUUUGUACGAGAAUCCACACAUAAGAUUUUCAAAUUAAACAUAAAAGGAUUCCUCAUAAUAAAAUAAGUGCCAAAAAAUUAUGGGUGUUUAAGAAAAAACUGCAACACUAUAAAGUUAUAUCUGUUAAUCAUUUAGGACCCAAAAACGUUUGGGUACCAAAAAGUAUGUUUUCUUCCACAGGUCAAUCAAAAGUCCAAAUGACUAUUGAACAGUGGAUGCACCCGACACAUGACAGGCAAUAGAAGAUUAUUAAGAGACAUAGCUUCAGUUCCCGAGGGGGAAACUGUUAUCUUUGCAGAUAACAUGACAGGUACCAUAAUAGGCAAAGGUAUAGUAGAUAGUGUAAAUAAUCCUUUUCUUAAAAAUGUAUAUUUAGUAGAAGGUCUAAAACACAACCUAAUUAGCAUAAGUCAAUUAUGUGACAUAGGUUGUGUGGUCAAAUUCGAAAAACAUUUGUGCACUAUUACAAACUCCGAAAAUAAGAUUAUUGCAGAAGGAAACAGAGAAUAUAAUGUGUAUUCUAUUACUUUUGACCAAACUGCCUCAUCUCAUGAACACUGCAUGAUAGCAGCCAGUAAUGAGAAAAUCCUAUGGCACAAAAGAUUGGGCCAUACUAGUUACUCCAAACUGACUAAGUUAUCAAAAGGAGAUCUAGUCAGAGGAUUAUCUAAAAUUGCAUAUAACCAAGAUAGCUUUUGCAACUCAUGUUAGAAAAGAAAGCAACAUAAAGCAUCCUUUAAAGCUAUUUUGGAAGUAACUACAUCUCGACCCUUGAACUCCUACACAUGGAUCUUUUUGGACCAACCCAAACUCAAAGUGUAGGAGGGAAGAGAUAUGCAUAUGUAAUUAUAGAUGAUUACACAAGAUAUACUUGGGUAUUCUUCUUGAGAAAUAAGAAUGAAGCUUUCAGCGAAUUCUCAUCAUUCUAUACAAGGGUUCAAAAUGAAAAAGAUCUCUCCAUUAUAAAAAUCCGAAGUGAUCAUGGUGGAGAAUUUGAAAACACUGAAUUUGAAGACUUCUGUAAAACCCAUGGUUUUAAACAAGAGUUUUCCUUUCCUCAAGCUCCUCCCCAAAAUGGAGUCGUUGAGAGAAAGAACCGAACUCUACAAGAGAUGGUAAGAACCAUGUUAAACGAACAUGAUAUAUCUCACAUUUUUUUGGUUGAGGCAGUAAAUACUGCAUGCUAUAUUUUGAAUAGAAUCAUAAUUAGACAGAUCCUAAAUAAGACUCCAUAUGAGCUUUGGAAGAACAGGAAACCCAAAAUUGCAUUCUUCAAAAUAUUCGGUAGUAAAUGCUUUAUCCUAAGGACUCGAGGAACACAUGAUAAAUUCGCUCCAAAGUCCGAUGAAGGAAUGUUUCUGAGAUACUCAGAACGAAACAAAACAUACAGGAUAUUCAUCAAAGAAUCUCAAACUGUAAUCGAAUCACUUCAUGUGAAUUUUGAUGAAUAUCCAAAGGAUAAUCUAAUAUCCUCCUCAGACAUAGAAAUUCAAGAAGAGUCAACUAUAUUGACCGAUCAAACUCCAUCAUCUGAAGACCUACAAACAGGUUACCCAAGUAAGACCUUAAGAAAUCCACAUUCUGAAGAAUAAAUUAUAGGAGAUAGAAAUGUUGGAGUUCGAAAAAGAUCAACCACUCAAAGAAACAUGGACUUUGGCUAUUUUGUGUCUCAGAUAGAACCCAAGAAAGUGGAUGAAGCCUUAACAGAUAACUAUUGGGUCAUCGUCAUGCAAAAAAAACUGAAUCAGUUUACCCACAGCGAUGUAUGGGAUUUAGUUCCUAAAUCCAAAGAUUGUUCAAUUAUAGGGACAAGAUGGGUCUUUAGAAAUAAGGUUGAUGAAAAUGGAAUCAUCGUUAGGAACAAAGCCAGAUUAGUGUCUCAAGGUUAUAAUCAGCAAGAAAGAAUUGAUUAUGACGAAACCUUUGCCCUAGUAGCGAGACUAGAAUCAAUAAGAAUACUUCUUUCAUAUGUAUGCUAUAAAAACUUCACCCUUUCUGAAUGGUGAAGUUAAAGAAGAAGUCUAUGUAAAGCAACCUCCCGGCUUUGAAGACUCUGAAUUUCCUGAUUAUGUGUAUAAACUCAAAAAAGCCCUAUACGGAUUAAAACAAGCUCCUAGAGCGUGGUAUGAGAGGUUAAAGAACUUUCUACUCUCUCAAGAUUUUAAGAUGGGUAGUAUUGACUAAUAUUCAUAAAGAGUAUUGACACAGAUAUUUUAUUAGUCCAAAUUUAUGUUGAUGAUAUAAUUUUCGGAUCCACCAAUAAAAAUUUGUGCAAAGAUUUAUCGAUUCUAAUGGAAAAAGAAUUCGAGAUGAGCAUGAUAGGAGAGUUAAGCUAUUUUUUGGGUCUCCAAGUCAAACAAAUAAAAAAUGGUAUUUUUGUUAGUCAAACAAAAUACUUAAAAGACUUAGUCAAAAAAAUUGGUUUAGAUAGCUCCAAAGCAUCUAACACUCCUGUGAGUUCUACACUCAGACUAGGAAUAAUAGACCUAGAGGGCUAAGAGGUAGACAACAAAAAGUACCGAGGAAUGAUUGGAUCUUUACUGUAUCUCACAGCAAGUAGACCUGACAUCAUGUUUGUAGUUUGCUUAUGUGCAAGAUAUCAGUCAAACCCUAAAGAAUCACACCUCAAAGCUGUGAAAAGAAUAAUCAGAUAUAUUAAAGGAACAAUUAAUCUAGGAUUAUUCUAUCCAAAAGGAAGUGACUUUUCCUUAACAGCUUACUGUUAUGCUGACUUUAGAAAAAGCACCAGUGGUACUUGUUUCCUAUUGGGAAACGCAUUAGUGUCAUGGUCAUGCAAAAAGCAGAAUAGCAUUGCUCUGUCCACCACAGAAGCAGAAUAUAUGGCUGCCUCAAGUGCAUGUGCUCAAAUCCUCUAGAUGAAGUAAACCCUAAAUUAAAAGAUUAUGACACUACUUUAGGAACUAUCCCUUUAAAAUGUGAUAACAAAAGUGCAAUAUGUCUAUCGAAAAAUACAGUGUUGCAUGCUAGGUCAAAACAUAUAGAUGUUCGACAUCAUUUUCUAAGGGAUCAUGUAGAAAAGAAGAAUAUUAUACUUGAAUAUAUAUCAACUGAUGAACAUUAGCUGACAUUUUCACAAAACCCCUGGAUUUGGAGCACUUUUCGAAAAUCAAAAAUAUUCUGGGGAUUUGUGACACAGUCAAAAAUAUUCUGUUCACCAAAGGUAUGAUUUAUAUUUUAUUCUUUAGUUAAUAUUAUAAGUCAACAUAUUAUUUCAUAGCUCUUAAGAUUGGAUUAAGUCAAAACUACAAUUUUGAUUAAUCACUUUAUAGCUAGUUAAAAUUAAUUAACUAAUAUUUAUUUCUAGCAUAAUAGAUGAGUGAAGAUAACUUAGAAGUUGGUAGGUGAGUUUAAUAAUAACUCAUUCCAAUAUGUUUAGUCCAUCUAAAACAAUUGUAUUUAAAACCCAAAUUAAUGGAUGGAUUAUAUGUGAAUAUCAAGGAGAAACCGAUUACUUAAUUCUUCACAACCACUUGACAAAAUUACACAUUAAUACUUGCAUUGUUUCAUUCAAAAAUUGUGAAGAUUUAAUACCCAACAUAAUGAUCUCCCAUUUAGUACUUAAAUCUCCUUGAGUAAAUAAAUUUUUAAUACUCGAAAUCACAUCCAUGGGAUUAAAGGAUUGUAUAGUUUAAAUGCCCAACAACCAUUGGUAAUGAUGGUUUUCAUUUAUGCAAUAUCAACUCCAUUUAUGGUAAUUAAACCCUUGCCAAUAGUUAUGGCUAACCCUCACCAAGAGAUUCAACCCAAGUGAAACAGAUAAGAUAUAUCUUAAAGAUCUCACUGGGAUAGCUUCAAUCCUGAUCAAACUCAUCGACAACUGCUUGUGUCCAAUGUCUACCAUUACUGCUGAGCCAUCCAUGAUAGCUCGAUCAAGUUGCUUCCUUCUGCAUCCUCGAUUGAAUCAAGGUUGAUUGGGUAGGUCUGGUUAUGUACAACAUGGCCACGGUUACUAUGAUACCAAAUGGAACCAGACACUAUCCUCGCUUGAUCUCCAAAGUCUUUGAUAAGUAUCAUCUUAAUCUUUCUUUGUCUAGGAGAUCCAAGAUCUGUCCUUUUCAACAUUUCACAGCCGCGUCAUUCAAGCAUAAGCUGCUCAAUCAAUUCUAUGACUCGGAUAAAGAAGAUAUGGAUGCCAUUAGAGUUGAGAUAACAGAUAUGAAACAUAUACUAGAUGCUCCUAUCGACAUGACUCUCCUCAACACAGAUACACUCAUGACUCUUAAAGGAUUGCAUGCAAAUAGAGAUGAUUUUGAUCUAGAAGUUGUUAGACAACUCAAUCUGGUGAACCAAAACGUCAAAGAGUUGGAAGAUCAAGUGAAGUUGAAUGAAGCUCGAAUGAAGGUUGCACAUGCCAAGUAAAGAACAUCAGAGUUAAUCAGGAAAUGAUCUUAGAAAGAUUUGGAUCACUUCCGGCCUGGUAGUGAUCAAGCUUAACUGUUGUGUUUUACUUAUUUUUAUCUGCCUAAAACAAUAUUUACUAUGUUUGUAUGCUUGUUUGUUUUUAGGAGAUCUUCACUAAUUUUGAUUGAAAAAUCUCUUUUGUUAAGAGAUAAUCAAGUGAAGAUCAUAAAUAGUUAUGCUUAAUCUUUGCUCGUUUAAGCUACUUGAUGUGUUUUAUUUCAGUAUGUUUUAUUCAAGUUAUCUUAUUUAUGCUUAAGCUAUAUUUGAUAUGUUCUCCUUAUAUAUUGCUUAAGUUAUAAUAUUUAUCUUGUUUUAUACUUUAGCUACAUUUGAUAUAUCUUCUUUAUAAUUGCUUAAGUUAUAAUGGUAGAAUUUAUUUUAAAUGCAUGCUCUAUAUGCCUAUGUGAUUUUUACAUGCAACUAUCAUAAUCAAUACUUUACAUCAUUACAUGCUUGUAUAUGAUAACAUGCACUCACGUUUAAUACAUGCAUGUUAAUGUAUUCUCAGGUAUUUCGCAAAUCUACUGAGAAAUCACGAAAAGAGGCUAUAACCCCCCUAGCCUCAUAUCAAGAUCCUACACAAAUCUGGUCAGUUAGGCGGUUAUGCGGUUACGGCCCAAAUGACCAGAUUACCUCCAUAAAAAUUCCUAUAAAUAGGAGGCACCUCUAACUCAUUUGGGCAGGUCAUUAGAAGUGGAGAAGUCCCAGCGAAGCAGAGCUCUGAGCAACUGAGUCCCGGCCUGAUUUUAUCGCGGAGUUCCCUGCCUGACGCUUGUUCGAAGUGUCAGGAAAUAAUGCAAAUGAAGGCAAGCGGCAGGAACGGCGGGGAUGUGAGGCCACCUCGAGCGCUGAGCCUAACAGCCACAGAAGUCGGAUGUCUGGACACGUUGCGAAGCCAAGCACGUUGGGAUUUGGGGCGAAGGGGUUCGGAGAUUGUCCAAAUCCGGGCACAUGCCGAACGAAGGGGCCGACGGUCACGUCAAGCGUAACCGAGUAGCGAGCGGACGAAUCCAGAGCGAGGUCGAGCAAACUCGAUUGCCGGGUGGAGAGUACCAACACGGGGGAAGUAUCGCCCGAACGACGGACGAAACCCGCAGGGAACGUCGGAGAACCAAGAGAUGAACGAAGUUCGAGUAGGGUCUGAGCCACGUCAAUAACGGACGUCGAAGGGUAAAAAAUUGCACGAACACGCACACGAAAGAAAGAGUCGUUAAAAUUUCCAAUAUAUCCAAAACACAAGUUACAAUCCCAAGCAACGGGAAAAAAAUACAACGAAAGUUACAAGCCCGAACUACAAUUUACAAAAAUACUUCCGCUAAGCGAAUUGAAAGACAAAAGGAAGAAAGUGUCAGUGUCGAAGGGAGGUGAAAGCAGCAGAAGAAAGAAGAGAGGAAAGAAAAGGCAUUCUGGGUGGCCCGGGGGAACACAACACCACAUCAACAGAUGAUGAGGAAGAAACGAACCAUGAACCACGCUCCUACAAAGGUUGGAAACGGGAGAGGGGUCGCCCAAAGAUGACCCCACCGGCCGAAGAAUCCAGGGAACGAGCAAAGGCCACCAAGAGGCGGACCGCUAGGAAGUGCCGCAAGUCAUUAGCCGGGAGGGACAAGGAUCCACGAGAACUGAUGAAGCACAAGAUUUGCUACCAGGGGCUCACGGUGGUGCGAGGUGAUGCCGAAGGAUCUGGAGUCCACGACGCGCGCGCUCUACGUCAAAUCCUGUAGGAGGAGAAUAGGCGAUUCUGGUAUGGGAAUCGGCGAUUCUUUCCGUGUAUGCUCUAGUUAUGUGGAACUUGUGAUCUCCCUUGGAGUGACCCCUUGGGACCCCUUUUAUAGGGUCUUUGGGGGCGCACUUCGUGGCGGGCAUCGCACUCGGGUCAUAAUGGCGCCCAUUAAUGGCCAUUAUAACGCGGGUUGGCGACGAGUAACGGUCGUAAAUCAGCGAUUCAGGUAGGGAAUCGACGAAUUAGGGGCAAAGUCGGCGAGCUCUAAGGGACGAGAUCUGUAGCCUACCAAUGCUAAUUAUCUCGACCUCAACUCGGCGAUUUACCACUAAUAUCGGUGAUUUGGUAGCCCAAUCGACGACCUUACUGGUUAAACUCGGCGAUUUGACGAUGACAUUUGUUCCGCAAUCGUGAGAGACUUCCGGGGGUCUGGCAUAAAGCGAACGGAACCCUACUCCUUAUUGAGGGGUGUUAUUGUUGGAAGUGAUUGACGCAAUCAGGCAUGUAUCAGCAAGAACCACGGUGGCCGCACGAUCGACGACGAUGAUCGUAAUUUUCGGCCGAAGCAACAACAAGCAUGGCGUGCAGAGAGCAGCAGAAGCUCGAGGUCACAGCGGCGGUAGCAGCAACACCAGAAGCUUCAACAGGGCCAAGAGUGUCGGAUCGACGGAGCUGAGCGAGACGGCGAUGAACAUCUAUCAGGACGGAGUUGAGUCGUUGGCUCUCCGACACGGCGACACUAUGGAAGUCACCAACUGGAAGCAACAGGCACUCCGCCCACGCGGCAUUCUGGAGUUUCGCCUCGCGGCCAAACUCCUCCAAAAGGUCUUGAACGCUCAUCGGAAAGGAAGGGUGGAUUGAAGAAAGCAGGCCACAGAGAUCCUAUUUGUAGAAGAAAAAAACGAGAAGGGGUAAGGAGCGCAAACAUCGAAGCGUCAUAAAGACGUUUAUUUGAGAAAGCAGGAGCAAUCAGACCGGGCGGUGCCCUACGGCCGCCAGCUCCCGGGCCCAGGGAGAAGUACUGUUGGUACCACGGACCGUCCCAACGGACCGUGGACCGAACCGUUCGGUCUCGGGCCCAACCGCGCGAAGGGACUGGACCCGGGAAAGCCCAAGAGGCUUGUAGGCCCCCUGGGCUAACACUAUAAGUACCUCCCCUGGUCCAACAGGGGAGGGGGUUGACAAUUGAGAGAAGGGAUUUUAAGAGUUGUGUGUGUGAGGAUCCCAUUGUGAGCCCACACACUAUCAGAAUUAUUGCCAUAACUUUCAAACUAGUAUUAUUCGUGUUUAAUCGAAAUUGGAUUAGCCCUUCUUUGGGUGAACCAGUAUAAAAUUUCGUGUGUCCUAUCUUUUAUUUUUAGUUUAUUUAAAAUCGAUUAUUAAUAAACAAAGAUUAAAAAGAAAUCUCUUAUCCAGUUAUUUGGUCUUAAGAUUGAGAUUGAGUACUUUUUAUUGAACCAUCAUUUGAUUACCUGAUCAAUUGAUUGAGGUUAAUUUUAUUGUUUAUCCCUCAUUUAGUUAUCUAUUUAUUUGAGGUUAUAAUUUCUGCACAUUUUUUAUCCAAUAAUUAUAUGAUCAAUUGACUGAGGUUAAGUUUAUAAACUUAUACUGAUAAUUAAGUUGACUUAUUAUUUAUAUAUUACAGUCUACAGUUAACUUUGAAAGUACAAAGACUUUAACCUAAAUAAUUAUUUAGAGUUUAAAGUAAAGCAAAUUAUAUCAUUUACUCUAACUUGUAAAUCUCAUAUAUUUUUGCUCUAAUUUUAGAUUUCGCGAAAAGAGACCAUGUUCCUUUGGUCUCGGAUUACGAUUAAACAAGUGGUAUUAGAGACAUGUUGCUAUCAGUUUUACAUCUGUUAUCAAUAUGACACAAGAGUAUCAAGGAUUUUCAUACAUAUAAGAUAAUGAACAUUUUCAUACGUAAGACAAGUAGGAACAACGUUAUUGUUGAUGUCAUUACAGAUCAUGGCGACUUCCUUCAUGUGAUCGGAAACCUUUAUCGACGUUGUUGAACUCCCAUCGCCAUGAUUAAUCUUCUUUGCUCUUAUCGCAAACUUUUCAAAAAUGUCCAUUAUCUUUUAUCUGACUAGAUGUUGUCUCAUAGAUAAGACUCUAUAUCUAAUAUCUAUCGAUAAAAGAAACAAUUAAUUGAAAUAAACUAAUCAAAUAAAGUCUUAAAGAUGAAGUAAACAUCAAAACUCAGAACACUCUAAUCAAAACUUAGAACACUCAAGAUGAAGGAAACACUCUAAUCAAAUUAAUAUAAAUCGAAAAAAUCGUGUUAAAAAAGACACCAUUGAAUCGACUUUCUGUUUGCCGGUCCUCCCAAAGCAAUUUGUCAAACCAUUCUUUUCUACAAUACAUGAAUUGCAAAUUUGGUGCACUAUUUUUACCCAUAAACAAUCGAUUUAAUUUCUCACAAUCCCACACAUAAAGAUACUCCAAUGAAUGCCAUUCCAUUUCCGAUUUUUCAUCACACUCAUGUUUCCAAACAUUCUCCAAAUUCGGUAAAUCGCGCAACCUUAAAUGCCUUAGCUUGGGAAACAAUGUCCUUGCUUUGGAACCACUAACACCUUGGUCAUCUUUUUCAAUGAUAUUUUCUAACUCAGAACAAGAAGAAAUAUUCAACUCUUCUAAACAUACAACACAUUCUGCCACAUUCCAUGGAAAAAUAAACUUCAAUCGAUCGCAACUAUAAAUAUAAAUUCUUUCAAGUCUUUCAAACGAUUUGGCGGGUAUUAUGGUUUGAGUUCCAGUAUUUACAAAGAUAUUUUCAAGUUCAACCAUAAUGCUCAGAUGUAGAUGUUCUAGUUUUGGUAGAAUUGGAUCAACUUGUGUGUUAUAUUGGAUGAAAUUCUUCUGUUUACUGCAAUAUCCCACUUCCAGACUUUUCAAAUUGCACAAUAAUUUCACGAUAUCUUGUUCUAUCGCUGAAGAAAUUGCUUGUGUAGCGGAAUUGUUAUCUAUCUCGAAAUCAUACAUAUACAAUUUUUUUGUUUUCUCAAACAAAACUUGUAACCAUUUCGCAACAUUGCUUAACUGAACACAAGGAAGGGUUAAAAUAUUUGAACUCCAAACUAUUUGUGCAUCAAAGACCCUAAGAUAUCUGAUGGAAAAGUAUUCAACUGGUGGGAUAACGAGACUUGGUGCAUAUUCAUGAGAAAAGAUAGUUUUAUCAUCUAUAUCAAUAUGAAGUGAGUACAAAUUCUUCAAAUCUUUCAGCUCCUCAAAUGUCACAUAGUCACCAUCUUCUUGAUUGAAAGCUUUCCAUUUGUUGUAGCUCCCUUGCAUGUUUAAUUCUUCUAAUGUAUUUCUUAGAGUCCAAAAAAAUUUCGGUCUUAUGAUAUCUAUCACGGUGUUUGAAAAAUCAAUCGAUCUAAGAUGAAUAAGCUUUUUACUGAACUCCUGAUUUAACUCUGAGAUGUGUACAUUCUGCAAGCAAAGAACUGAAAGAUGUUGCAAGAAGAAAAAGUCUGUUAUAUCGACUGUAAUAUUUUGAUGAAGGGUUUUAAACAUUAGAACACGAAGCUUCGCUAGUUUCUGAAGGCAUGUUUCAAUGAAUUCUUUUAUAGAUAUCGAUGUUCCUCUCAAGUCCAAGAACAAUAAAUUUGCCAUCCCUUCAAAGAAAUCAGGAUGAAUGCUUUCCAAUAUGUUGUUACCAUUGAAUGAUAAAAACUGUACUUCAUUUAUGUUCUGCAGUCGAUCUGUUGAAUUUAAAUUUUGAAUAGAAGAACUCCAUUUGAUGAACUUUUCAAUCUUGAAGAAACCUUCAAAUUCAUUCUGCGCAAUAGAAAUAGCUACAUCCCGAAUAACAUCAUGCAUCCUCGCUGAAUUUUCCUUUUCAUCAUCUAUUUCUUCUACAACAUCUUGUAAUAACCCUUUCCUCUUCAAAUUUAUAAAUAUAUCACGAUAAGUAUUCAAUGAUCUUUGUCCUCUAUCUUGCCUUACACGCUUAUCUGCUCCAAUGUCAUAGCAAAUAAAAUCUCUCAAUUGAAUUUCUUGACCUUGAGCAAAUACGCUACAUAGUAGGAAACCCAUCUUCAAAUCAUCUUCUUCUAGGCGUUCAUAACUAAACUUCAGCAGACGGUACAUAUUUUUCACUACAUAAAUAGGCACCCUUUGAGGACAAUCUUCAUUUAGAAAAUUUAAACAACCAUUCCAUUUACUCUCUAGUAUUUCUCCACGAAGUGUUUUUGCAACAACUGAUAUCGCCAAAGGUAGCCCUGCACACUUUCUACAUAUUUCUUGCGCUAUAUGUUUUAUUCUAAGAUGAUUAGGGUUAUUAUCAAUAUCAGAAUAAUUUCUGAAGAACACCCAAGAUUCAGUUUCAUCAAGUCUUGCAUACAUCUUGAUUUGUUCGGCCCCCAAUCUCCGACAAAUAUCUUGGUCUCUGGUUGUCAGAACAAUCUGACAACGUAGAUUUUCAUCAUUAAUGUCGAUACCGAUUUUUUUAAAGUCUAGAUCCUCCCAUACAUCAUCGAAUAUGAUCAAACUUUUAAAUUUUUUCAAAUGAUCUGAAAUUAUUCUUGCUCUGACACGAAUCUCAUCAUUAGUAUUGAAUUCUUCAAACUGUUCACUGGAGCAUAAUCUACGAGCAAUAUUUUUUUGGAUGUCCUUGAUAUCGAUAGUAUUGUGUGAUACUGUCACCCAAAUAACAAAAAUGUUACCAUAUUUUCCCAUUUCAUUGUUAAUCUUCCGCAUCAAUGAGGUCUUCCCAACUCCUCCCAUUCCCCACAACCCAAUCACAUUUUUAUUCUCUAAUGCUGCAUAUACUGAAUUUUUAUUAACUUCAAUAGAAUCAACUGAUAGGUAAUCGAUGAGUUGAUGCUCCACACCUGGGAAAUAACCGGCCCAACAACGCAAUCUUAUGAGCAAAUCCCUUAGCUGAGGAGAUACAGAUUCCAAGCAUUGUGGUACACCCCAAUUUACCACUGCUAAUACUGCCUGUUUUACUAUAGGUAAUAUGCAAGAUGACUCCAUCUAGAGUCUCCCCCACAGCAACAAAUACACUUUCAAUUUUGUUAUCACCAAGUCAAGUUAAAAAUAAAGAUUUGAUUUUUAAUAGAAAUAUUCAUUUGUGUAACAGUGUAAGAUAGUACGUAUUCAAGUUCAAAAAAUCACAAUGUUCUUUUUAUCAUAACAUAAACUUCCAUAUUUAUGUACAAAUACCUAAAUUUAGUUAUAUUUCAAUUCAUUAAAAUUUUCCGAAUUCGGAUGCAUACAAACCAAAAUAACGUUUAAUUUGUAGAAAUAACUAAAUAUACAUUUUUCAUAUUACAAAACUUAAAUUCUUAAUAUUUAAUCAUUUUGAAAAAAUAUAAUUUGUGAUGAGGGUGACCAAGAGUUGAUCGACCGACCAGAAUUUUAGUCGGUUGAUUCGAGUAACAAGUAUUUUGGUCGAUGGUCCCAAAGUGACUGACCCUUAAUUUGAUAUGCCUCCCUUCCAACUAAACAUGGGAGGGAAGCUCGAUCUGGGCCCAGUUUAGAACCCAAGGCAUGUUUGCGAUAUCUGAUAUCUUCCUCUAACUUUCGAGACCUCGCGUUAUUAACAAAUGCAUAAGAGUCUAUUCUUCAUACCGUACUCCAUAAUACAAGAACUGAUAUCAGCAAUAUUUCCCCCUUCAAUCGAGACAUGUAUUUUGGUAUCUAAGUGGUUGCAAUGGCCUACGAACCAUCAUUUCUUCCUCCUGAAUUAGCCAAGAUAGGCGAGAAUGAAUUGACAAUGACUAUCAAUUUUUCCUCCUCUACCUUUGCGGGGUAGAAUACUUCUCUCAUGAUUCAUUUAUAGUCGACGGGCUAAAGCGUCACACCGAUUACUGGGUAUUUUUCGUAAUAAUCGAUAGAUUGAAGCUUCAAAUUGAUUACUUAAACUGCGUAGAUUUCGUUAAAUUUCUUUAUAUUCAGUAAGACAAAGUGUCGUACCGACUAUCCUCUUGGAGUUUUCAAAAUUUUGGCAAGUGUCCUUCUCACCACCAGUGAGGACGGAGAAUUAAAGGAGGGUGAAUUUGCCCCUUUGCACAACCAGUUGACCGAGAACUUAUCCCUUUGGGAUAAUUAGGGUGACAAUUAAUAAAAACUCCCCUCUGCGGUCUCGAGCCUAAAGCUCAAAUUUGAUAAGCUUAUCAAGUCAUACUUAAUUUAGAUAUUAAUUGAUAAAGACUAUUAAAUAAACUUAAAUAAAAAUUUAAAUCUAAAAAAAACCUUCAAGUUCGAGCCCGAGCCCGAGCUCGGCCGAAUCAUGCUCGGGUUCGAGACAAUUUUUUAACGAGUCGAGCGUAGCUUUAUAAUCAAAAGCUCGUAUUGACACCGUAAGGAUAAUGAAAUAAAUAAACAAGAAACUGAAGAAAGUAGUAAAAAAAUAUAUAACGAGACCUAAUUAUGGAUAUUUGAACUCACCUUUUAUAUUCUGAAAUCUGAAUUAUUGUCACAAGAUCUGAGUCGUAAAUGCUUGCUUUGAGGAAAACUUAAUUCUAGAUUAUUUUAUUUUGACGAAAAAACUUGAGAUUUUUUAAAUUUGAUUCAGCAUGUACCAAACCUGUAAAAUAAAAAUUUAAAAUAACCAUCAGAACCGCAAAUAUCUACAAAUUAAGAGAAGUUGCAGAUGAAUGAAUAAAUGAAUAAAAGGGGAACUAAAACACUAACAUGUUGAUUGUACCCAAUCUAAACAACUCCAGGCAAUACAAAUCAGAGAACUCCAGACCAAGAAGUAGCUUUAAAACACAUGGUAUCAGUGGUUACCAAAUUAAUUUGCCAUUGGUACUAUAUGGUAGGUGCUGAUAAUUAAGUAAUCAUUAGAUUAAUGCAUCAUCCCUAAUGACUUAUUCCAAAUUGAACGAGAAACACAUAAAACUUAUCCAAUGUCGAUCUCUAUCUAAAUGCAAUAUCAUCUGGCCCUAUCUAAAUGGUUAAUUCCAACAAGUCAUUUAUAUCAAUAAUGACUUAUUCCAAUACGGCCCGUAUCAGGUAUAAGAAAGGUUCUUAUGAGAACCCUCUUUCAUCACGUCCGUCCGUUUCAAAUAAAAACCUGGACCGUCGAUUUUUUUCACCAGUUACAUCCGGUUCCAUGUUACCAAAAAAUAUUAGAAAAAUUGAUAAGGUACUAAUAGCUCAAUAGUAGCUUACGUAGUAGCUCUCUUAGUAAAUCCAAAAAAUUUGUAAAAAUUAAAUUUUAUUCAAAAAAAAACAAAUUUCACUUCACUCUCCCUCCAAAAACGUCCUCCGGCACGGCGAUUCUUCCGUUUUCCCGCAGCACUCCUCCGGUCUUCCCCGUUUUAUUCUCUGAGAACGGUACAUCCAACCGCUUCGAUCUUGUUCUACUCUUCCCUCCAAAAUCGAUUUCCUCCGGAGCUGCGAUUUUUUCUGUUCUCCCGUACAUCUCCUCCGGUCUAGCUCCGUCCUGUCGUUGUCGCGUGGGUUUUUUUCUCUCACAGCGUUUCAUUCAACCAAAACUGCUCCCCGUCCUGUGACUAAAAGAACUGCUACCAGCACGGCAACGAUAGGCGAUAGCAAGGAGUUCAUAUAGAGAAAGAAGAGGGCGGAGACGUUCAAAACCCUAAUUUUAUUCAAAAGAUUUUUUGUCUGAAGAGUUUGGAGUGAUUUAGAAGGGAGGGGUGGAGCAGGGCUGGCCGCCCAUAGAUGCUCUUCAAAAUCUUAUCAAUGAGGCGAAAAUCCAAGCUGUGUGGUGGGAUCUCUGCAUAUUCGGAAUUUCCUAUUUUCUUUCUCGUGAGUGGAUUUAUUAUCUUUUGUUUUGCUGUUUUAUUUUUUGUUUUCCGUCGACUAAUUGGAUUGUUUUGUUUCAUUCACAAUUAUUGCUUUCCUCCUCUUCAAUCUUAAUCUCCAGUUUCCAGUCAUUUUCUUUUCUAUUUCUUCUUGGGUUUUGGCAGUUAAGCAAGUAAAAAUAGGUAAUUUUUUUAUGAAGUUGAAACUUACGAGUUAAGAAGAUAAAAUUUACGUUACCUGUUCUGAAAUUAGAGAUUAUAGUGGAAGCCUACUGAUUUUUUAUCACUCCCUUCUACUUCUCCUAAUAUUUUUAUAUUAAUAGAUGUUUAACAAGCAUUUUCUGAUGAGGAUUAAUACUGGAUGUCAUUGAUGAAAUAUCAGCAAGGAUUAAAGAGAUCAAUCUUUUUGAGUUGCAGACAAAGUAAUUUUGUUUACCUUUACAUUGACAUACCUAUCUUUGUUCCAUAAAAUUUAAAGUAAUUACACGUGUUUCAGAGAUGCGAUUCAGUUAAUUUGUGACCAUUUAGAAAUGUUCAGAAGAUAUCAAUCUUCCAUAGGUGGUGUAAAAGUUAUCAGUACUCUAUCACAUGAACAGAUAGAUGAGAAAUUGAAGUGCUAUAUGUGGUAUUGUGGGGAGCUUGACCCAGCUAUAAGAUCUCCAGAGUGAGUACAAGGUUUGUCUUAAAUGAUAUGAUUUUUCAUUAAUCCACAAUACAUGUUAUAUGCCAUAUAUAUUAGUUCCUUGGUUGUUAUGACAAUUGACCCCGCCUCUACUGUUUUCAGGUCCUUCAACGUGUCUCGCUGGAGGAGUUUUGACUUCAGUUUUAGAACCAAUGGAUGUUCAAUCCCCACUUGUUAAGUGUUUAAGUACUGAUAUUACCGGAAGCACACUACACAGUAGCGUAAACACAUAAUAGCAGAACUGUACGACCCAGUAUAGGAAUGGGUGGAAUAGAUGUUGGUCUAAAUACUGAUAUUAGCAGAAGUACACUACACAGUAGCGUAAACACAUAAUAGCAGAACUAUACGACAUACUAUAUGAACGAGUGGAAUAGAUGUCGGUCUAAGUACAGAUAUUAACAGAAGGACAAUACACAGUAACGUAAACACAUAAUAGCAGAACUAUACGAAACAGUAUAUUAAGGGGUAAAAUAGAUGUCGGUUUAAUUACUUAUAUUAGCAGAAGGGUACUACACAGUAGCGUAAACACAUAAUAGUAGAAGGGUACUAAAUUAGAUAGUAGCGUAGUCGGUGGAUGAAUUGUUCGUCUAAGUACUUGUAUUAACAUAAGUACAAAAGAUAGUAGCGUAGUCAGUAAAUGAAUUAUUCGUCUAUGAACUCAUAAUAGCAGAAGUACACUAGAUAGUAGCGUAGGCAGUGAAUAAAUUAUUCGUCUAAAUACUAAUUAUAGCAUAGAUACGUUAGAUAGUAGCAUUGCACACAAAAAAGAUAGUGUCGGAGAACAUGAAUGAUAGUCUGGAUUUAAAAUCUACAUUAAUUCACGAACAAAAUGCAAAAUAAAGAAAUGUCAUUUUUUCUUAGCAACUGAAUCGUGACAAAUUUCCUUUGCGUUCUUUAUCCGCAUUGCGUUAAUUUUCGUUGGUCUUCCACUCUUACCACUCCUUUUUGUUUUAACCUUCGUCGGAGACCCAAUCAAUACAGUGGUUUUCUUCGUCUUUUGGAUUCUUGUUUAUUGAUGUUAUAGAAUAUAAAUUUGAAACGAGUAUUGAUGCAUUAAGUUUUUGAAGAAUUUCGUCACCAUAUUUGAGUAGUAUAUCAAGUUAAGUUUGUCCUAUCUUCGCAUAAUUCAUUAUUGUCUGCGACAUUACUAAGUACUUGGAUACAGUGGCGUAUUCAGGAUUCCCCGGCAGGGGGGGCAAGAUUCGCCGAAGGCGAAAUUUUUUUUUUGUAUUAAUUAAAAAACCUAUACAAAUUUUGGCAUGACCUAUUCAUAUAAUUGAUUAUAAAAACCUAUAAAAAAUCAAUACAUUCAUAUUUCAUAAUUAAUAUCCAAUACAUUAAUUAAUAUUCAAAUUAAAAAUAAAUACAUUCAUUUAAUUAACAAUAAAAAUUUCAAAUACAUUUUACAUUACUUCAAUGUCCUACGACGAGGACACAUAUCAUUAAAUAUUUUUAAAAUAACUUCGUUGUCUAUAGUUUUAAAAAUAUCUUUUUCGAUAUAUGUUACUAAUCAGUCAUUCAUCAAACUAUCACCAAGGCGAUUUCUGAGACGAGUUUUAACGAUAUGCAUUGCUGAAAAACAACAUGGGAACUCUCAAGGGAAAAACACUUCUUUGAUAAUGUGAGAAAAUGGUUUUCACAAAUUAUCUCUAUGAUUAUGGAGGAUUAGGUGGGAAAACUAUAUACCAAAGACUCACUUAGUAGUUUGCCACUUUAUUCUGAGCAUAAUAAUGCAGCAGAUUGAAUUCAAGUCACAUAAUAAUGAAAUCCAAAAUUCAAAACAAAUCAUCUCAUUUGAUUGAAAUCUGGCAUCUUAUACUGUUAUUGAUUGGUGAUCGAUCUUGUGUGUUUACUAUAGAUAGUUUACUUAUUUCCUUUCAACUUGAUCAUUCUGAAAGAAAAUAAUUCUAAAACAACAUCACAACAUUUAUUUUAUACUUCAUAUUGUGUUAUUCUAUUAUUCUUCUUUUCAGAAUUUUAGUGGUGGUAAUAAUUUUUGGAAUAAAUAAUUAUAUUUACCUAGGUUGUUGAGAAUUUUCAGAAUUCUUGGGGGCAGAAUUUUCAGAAUUCUUGGGAAGUCUUUAGAUCUUCACCUAGGUUGUUGAGGGCAGACCGCAGACAUACACAGUCACACACCACACACGCACUGACGCUGGGACGCACACCAAUUUGAUCCCGCCUGAAGGCUGAAGAUGGUAGUUAAUAGUUUGGGGGCAGUGGCGUAUCCAGUUUUUGAAGGACCCAUCAACUGUUUGGGGGUAUGUUAUUGAUCUUGGACUCCUUGUGUACUAGAAACAACUUAUAUAGAAAGCAACGGAGGGAGAAAUCGUGAGGUGGAUGGGUCAUGAGAGUUGGGAGGAGGAGAGAUUGGGGAAGAAAUUGAAGGAGGAGGAGGAGAAAUCGAUAGUUUUGGGGAAGAAGAUUGGGGGAAAGAAAUUUAUAUAAUAUAUAAAUAUUGUGAAAUUUAUACAUUAACCCUUAAAAAUAUUAAUAUAUUGUGAAAAUUAUACUAAACCCCCUAUAAAAAAUUUAAUUACAUAUAGGUCCUUCAAAAAUUUCCAAAUUUUAGGGGGGGCAAUUGCCCUCCCUUGCCCCCCCUGGAUACGCCACUGCUUGGAUACAUAUAUAGGAUUAUCAGGUUCUGAAAUUGAUGGAAAAAUUUUGUGAUUCUUGCAUAGUUUUUUCCACCUAGACAUUUUUAAAUCGUUAGGUAAAUUUCGAUACCGGUUGACAAUCAAAUAAUGUAUAACAUGAGAGCAUGGGACGUCGCUAUAUUCGAAUCGAUGGCAUGUGCAUGUAGGUGUAGAAUUUCCUUGAGUAAGAGUGAGUUUAAAUAACUCGCUCGAUUUGUCUUUCUAAAGACAAAACAGGUAGAUAUUGAAUAUCUUAUAAAAAGAAAAGUGAAUUUGUCAAAUUAAUAGUUGAACCUAACAAAAAAUUUAAGAAAAAAAAUAUACAAAAAAGGAAAGUGAUAUCGUGAACCGUAAACCCUAACCUGAAAAAAAACAUGCAAUCAAAUUGAAGAUUUAUGACUAUAAGUAGGUAAAAGAUAGUAACAAGAAGAAAAAUUGGAAGUAUACGGAAGAAGAAAAAAAAUCUGACAAUUUAACGAAGGGAAAAAGAGUGUGAGAGGGAAAAAAAUUAAAAUUUACAUUAUGAAGAGAGAGAGAUUGUGAGAGAGAAAAAAAAUUGGUUUAUGACAUUAGAAGGAGUGAGAGGGAGUUUGUGAGGUAGAGAAAAAAAUUAAAAAAACUAAACUCUCAUAAUUUUUGAAGGAAAGAGAAAAUAUAAAGAAAAAAAAUUAAAAACCAAAGUCUAACAAUUCCAUUGAGAGAGAGAAAAGUGAAGAAAAAAAAUUAAAAAAUUAAAUUUAAUACAUCUCAUGGGCUCUCUCUACCGGUUGGGAAUGGAGGGUGGAGAUUUAUUAAAGAAAAAUGGAAGGCGAUAAAGUUCUCAUUUGAGAACCUAAAAAAGAGGUUCUCACCUGAUAUUUUUUGUAUUCCAAUAUUAUCGAGAAAACCCAUAAAACUUAUCCAUUGUUAUAAUGUUUUACUGCACUUGUUUUUUUUAAUUUAUUCAAAUCACUUUAUAAACAUCCGACUAUUUUAUUUCGAGUGACACGAAGUUUAGACGAGGAUAGAGUGUCAAACGAGCAGAGUUUUUGCUUAUAAAGUUGGGUUCGGACUCGACUCGUUAAGGAAUUGUCCAAACUCAUGCUGUCCAAAUUCGGGCUCAGCCAAAAUUGAACAAAAUUAAAGAAAAAAAUUUAAAAUCUGAAUAUUUUUAAAAAGAUUUAGGUUUUUAUUUAAGCUUUCUUAUAAUUUAUUCAAUAGUCAUUAUCAAUUAAUAUCUAUAUUUUAUUUAAUUAUUAAGAAUCCUAUAACGAGCUUAUCGAGCCGAGUCGAGCUUGAAAAGUCUAAGCUCGAGUUUGGCUCGAUAAUCUUAUCAAGUUUGAGUUUUUGACUGACGAGCCCGAGCUUAACGAGCCGGACUUUUGUUGACACCUUAGGCAAGAACUAGUGCUUAGAGAAUAGACAAAUAACAGAAAAGACAACAAAAAGAUGUCUAGGUGGAUGUCUUGGUGGUGAAUGAUGCUCAUUAAUUGAGCCCAUUAUAGAAUAAUUAAUAUUUAAUUUAAUGACUAAAAUAACGUACUGUAUAAGACACUAACACAUGUACGACGUAAAAUAAUGUGCAAGACAUUAGCAUAUGUACGACGUAAAUUCGAUCUAAUAGACAUAAUCAACUUUUAACACAUAUACCAUUCGUAUUAUACGGCGUAUCUUAAUAAUAUUGUAUUUACAUAAUCGUUAUGUUUGAGGACGUCCUCGUAAGUUUUGAAACUUGGUGUCACAUUUCUUGCUACAAGUCAAGUUAAAAAAACUUGGAGACAUUAACUGAGAAUACUCUGCUUAUCCCAUCUAGCCAUUUAUAAUGUAAUGCUAAAUUUUUCAAUACUAGUGGUCCAUACCCCCUUCCAAAAUUUGUCAACCUCUUUUCUAUCAUUAUGGAUUCUCAGACGUUCUUGUAUGUUGGUGAGGUACCACUCCCGGUUCAAAUACAGUUGUAGUUGAGCCUACAUUUUAUGACUUUAUCCAUCUUGUAUUUGUUAUCUAUUAUUCCAACUCAUAGAACGGAAUCUAACCUUCGUUGUUUGUCUAUAUCUCUAAGGUCUUUUCUCCUCACAUACCUCUCUUUCAUCCAUGAGGUUCAGAUAGAGUCCUGCGCCGACCAAAUCUUUUUCAACCUGAUUAUCCUAGAUGCCUCUGCUGGUUUUAAAAAGCAUCUCAUCCCUAGGCCCCCUUCCUUCUUGGGCAGCGUCAUUUGUACUUAAGUAAAAUCUUGCUUUUCGUUCUAUAUAUACCUAUAUAAAAUGGACAGAUCCUUAAGUGUUUCUUCUGAUAGUCUACAUAACACAUUUUAAAUAUACUCAUAAUUCUUCAAAUGAAAUAGUUGGCCAUUAAUUGAACUUGGGCUCAUUAUAAGGACAAAAAUUCACACUUGAUUCAGAAUCUUGCAGGUUCAGAAAUGGUCAAAGUUGAAAAAUGAUUUCUUCUACAAAUCAAAUCAAGUUAAAAUAAACUUGGAGGCAUUAACUGAGAAUACUCUGCUAAACCUGCUAAUACUAAAAGUCUAGACUUUGGUUCGAACGAGGAAAUGAUCGCCGGCGGUACUCUUCCGAUCUCAUCCCCAUCCACAAAGCGGUACAUCCUCCGCCUCUUCAUCUCCCUUAAGUACGUGACGGCUAACGUGGUCGAUAUCAAACGCGGCAAAGUUGCCGCGACGGCCUCCUCUGUCGAGAAAGCAUUAAAGGAGGGAGUGGUGAUGGUGAACGGCCAGAGAAGAAAUAAUGCCAAGGCCGCCGACGCCGUUGGUGAAGUUCUUGCAAUGAGGCUCAAAGUAGACGGUCUUGCUCGCGAGCCGAUAUAUGCAGAUGUCAGGAAGGAAGUUGAGAAGAAAGGGUUUAGGAAUCAAACUAGGGUUUGGGCUAUAAUCAAUGCUCUACGUACACACGGUGUUAAUCUUAUUUUCAAAGAUCCUCAGAAUACUUCCGACGGCAUUCAGCGAUGGCGAUCCUCCUCCCGGUAAAUUGAAUAAUUCUUAUUCUUAUUGUUCUGCGGAAUUGUUAAUACAAUGAAUGCCGAAUGAUUUGACAUUUGCAGAUAAUGAAUGAAUUAUGGGGCAUUGUUGGUGUAACCCAAAGAUUUACAAAUCUGAGUUCCUUUUUUACUUUGGGUAGAGAUGAAAUCGAUUCUACAAGCUUCAUCAGUGUUAUUUUAUCCUUGACCAGAUUAAUUUUUCCCCAAUUUUGCCACUGUUUUCUGUCUGGGUUUUUUCUCCCAAUAAUAAUAAUAGAAGAAUCCAAGAACUUUUGCUUCUUUGAUUGAUUUCUCUCUUUCUUCUGCUAAGACACACACCAUCUUUAGACUAUAUUGAUUCUCAGGCUAGUUUUGUGGGCAUAUGACAUGUAUGUUUGUUUCUUCAAGUGUUGUGAAAGGAAUGGUGGAUCACUUUUAAGUAAAGCAACACAUAUUCAUAUGCACAAUCCAACCAUUAAAGCAUAACAAGUGUCACACGGGAACCAAAAAAAACUAGCUACCAUGUGUUCUUCUUUUCUUUAGAGAUUGGAGAAAUUCUGAAAAGAGAAAAAGAGUGUUGAAGGAUAGAAACUUAUGUGUAAAGUUUUGAAAGAAAAAAAUCUUUUUCUUUUCAUUUUAAAGGAAGAACAGAACAUUGAAUCAAAAUUCAAAAUAUAUGUUAUGACAAUUGUUGUAGAAGAAGGCACCAUCACUAGGGAGGAUCAUCACGGUGAGUUGGUUAAGACUCCACAAUGUCUCUGCUCAUGGUCUACUGGCAUUGCUCGUUACAUUUAUGCUCUUAUCUUCCUCACCACUAAUCUUUUGGCAUGGAUGGUUAGAGAUUACGGCCGAGUUGCACUUUCUAAGCUUCGGAGUAUGCAGUUUAUUCUCUCUUCUUCUUCAUUAAGUACAGUUUUAUUUGUUUUUGUUUUUUCACUCAUAGAAAAUUUAGAAAUACAAGGUUUCCAUUCGGGAAAGGAAUGCUUAGGCUCAGAAGGCGUGCUCCGUAUAAGUCUUGGUUGCUUUGUAUCCUUCAAAAAAUAAAAACUACCCACAAUUUAUAUCGAAGUACAUCUUUAAUUAUGUUUAGCUCUUCUUUUUUGUGAUGUUUGUUUCAACGGUUGGAACAAGACAAUUGGGGCAACGUAGGAAUUCAUGGCAUUCAAGUUGGUGGUCUGCCAAGAUUAUUCUAUGGAUGAUUUUCAUGAUCUUCCCUUUCAUCAUUCCUUCUGAUUUUGUCUUGUUCUAUGGUAAGCCAUUAUUUGUAUAUAUUUUUUAAAUUUAUAUUUCUUAUGAGUUAUGAAGUAACAUUGCAGUUUGCAUACCAUCAAAUUCCAUUGUAUCAUUUUUUUAACUAGAUCUCUUAUGAAUUCUAACUUUCCUUAUCAUCAAACAUCAAUUGUAGGGAAGAUUGCUCAUUUGGGUGCAGGGUAUUAUUCUCUUUCGUCGACCCAAUAUGAUUGUUUUUCUUUCUCUAAACCCUUUUUCCAAUUUUUAUUCCUUAAUAGUCAAAUUUCUUGAGAUAUCUUGUUUUUUUUCCUUUUUUCAGAAUUUUCCUCUUCAUUCAACUAAUAAGUGUGAUCAGCCUAAUAACUUUGUUAAAUGAUUAUUUUCGGAUGGGAAACAAUGCUGAGAGAUGGUGGGUACACUGUGCAAUUGUUUUAAAUAUGUAUUUUUCACUCUUAAUUCUUGAUCUCUUCUUCUUUGACACGUUUGAAUUUUGUUCUCAGUCGAAUUCAAGUAUUCGUCAUCUCAAUUACUGCAUAUAUCGUAGCGUUGUUAUUCAUUAUCUUAAUGUACAUCUGGUAUGCACCAAAUCCAUCUUGCAAGAUCAAUAUAUUUUUCAUCACAAUGACAUUGGCACUUAUUCAACUAACAACAUUCGUCUCCACACUUGACAAAGUGAGUUUACAUUUCAUUAUCUCCACAACCAAACAUCGUAACAACACAUGUGAUUUUUUCAGUCUUUUUAUUUCUUCCAAGGUGAAUGCAGGAUUUUUAACCCCAGGUUUAAUGGCGGUAUACCUGGUUUUCAUAUGCUGGUGUGCUAUUAGGAGGUAAUUUCAAUCAUUCGCAUUCGUGAUCAUUGAGUUUUUAAAAUCAUUUAAAUCAAAGUGUAUUAAUUUUAAUAGAAUCGUUAAUCACAGUGAGCCACACAGUGAGAACUGCAACAAGAAUGAUGGAAUGCAUUCGAAUUUGAUGACUUAUAUAGUAAUAUAUUUUUUUCAUAAUCCGCCCUGAUUUAAUACGCCCUGCCCUGGUUUAAUAAAUAGUUUUUUUUUUCAGAGUUUUGUUGUGGCUGUACUUGUUAUAGUCGUUGCGACAUUCACAACUGGGAUUGAUUCCAAGUGCUUUCAGAUGAUUUUUUAUGUCAGCAAACUGCAUAAAACUUCCUGUUCUUUAUUUUUCAUAGAAAAUCUAUAAUUCUCAGUAGAUCACUUCUUGUGUAGUUCAAGAAAGUGAAAACAGAGACAGAAGAAGAUGUUCCAUAUGGUUAUGGAUUCUUCCACUUUGUCUUUGCAAUGGGUGCUAAUUACUUUGCAAUGUUGUUCAUUGGUUGGAACACACACCAUACUAUGGAAAAGUAAGUUUCUCUGAACAUUGAUUCUGCAGUGUGUUAUUUCCUGUUCGUCAAAAUGUAUUAACACUUUUAUUAAAUAUUGAAUGGAAAAAAGUUUUUAUCGAGUGAUAUCGUCAAAGAAUUUUACUUUUUUACACACUGUAAUUAUUCUCCAAAUGGUUUAAUUGCAGAUGGACAAUUGAUGUUGGAUGGGCGAGUACUUGGGUUAGAGUUGUGAAUCAAUGGCUUUCUGCAGUUGUUUACUGUGAGUAUAUUUUAGUUGUUUCCUGUGUUCUUUUUCUUUUCUUUUUCAAAGUAGUUAAAUUUUAACAACAAAAAAAUCAUUUUCUUUUUUGAAGUAUGGAUAAUUGUUGCGCCAUUGUUUUGGAAGAACUUGAGAUGUCCAGAGCCCCAAGAAGGAUAACUUGAAUCAAAAUUGACUAAUUGAUUACUAUUUUGCAAAAAUGAAAAACGAAAGGUAACUUGUUACGAUUCUUAAAAAACACAAACACAACACGAUUUUAACACGAACAGUCGAACACAUGUUCAUAAAAAUACGAUUUUAUGAACACGAACAGUCUAUUCGUGUUAAUGAAAAUUAUGAUAUAUUGACAUAACUAAUUGUGUAAUUAGUAUAAUUAACUAACAUUUUGAUUAAUUAGAUUUAAUUCUCUCUUUUGUAACUACCUAAGAUUGUAGGGUUUAGGCUCAUCCCAUAACUUCAAUCCAACUCCGACCAUGGAUUUUUUCUACGUGUUUUUCUGCAAUCAUCUUUCUUACCUUCCCAACACCGUCCCAAUGCCGGGAAAUUGCGAAAAUAUUUAAUCAACGACGCUAAGCUUGGACUUUAUCUCAAGGAACCGUGAUGAGGGUAGUGGUUUUGUAAAACCAUCUGCGAUUUGGUCCCUUGUCGAUAUGUGUGUUAGCAUUGAAACUUACACAAAGGAUAUUCAUAUAAGAUAUUAACUGAUGAGAAUGAGAUGUUAUGUCUCAUACAUAUAUAAAACUCUAUAUCUAAUAUCUAUCGAUAAAAGAAAUAAUUAAUCAAUUAAUGGAAAUAAACUAAUCAAAUAAAGUCUUAAAGAUGAACUAAACAGUACCAAAUUACCAAUCCAAAUAUAUAUAAUAAAUAUGUUUUCAAGUUUUGCAAACUCACAAUAUAAAACUCACACACCACAAACUCAUAAUAUAAUUAAACUCACAACAUUGCUAAAUUUUUUUUUUGCUAUAUUUUAUAAAUCCUCCUCUCUUAUUCCUUUAUUAUAAAUCCUCUUCUUUUUGCAUCGAUUUUUUGCUUGCUGGUCCUCCCAAAGUAAUUUAUUAAACCAUUCUUCGCUACAAUUCAUGGAAUCCAAAUUUGGUGCACUAUUUUCACCCAUAAACAACCGAUUCAAUUUCUCACAAUCCCACACACGAAGAGACUUCAAUGAAUGCCAUUCCAUUUCCGAUUUUUCAUAACACUCUUGUUUCCAGACAUUCUCCAAAUUCGGUAAAUUGCCCAAUUUUAUAUGUCUUAGCUUGGGAAACAAUGUCUUUGCUUUGGAACCACUAACACCUUGGUCAUCUUUUUCAAUGAUAUUUUCUAACUCAGAACAAAAAAAAAUCUCCAACUUUUCUAAACAUACAACACAUUCUGCCACAUUCCAUGGAAAAAUAAACUUCAAUCGAUUGCAUACAUAAAUUGAAAUUCUUCCAAGUCUUUCAAACGAUUUGGUGGGUAUUAUGGUUUGAGUUCCAGUAUUCACAAACAUAUUUUCAAUUGCAACCAUCUCCAGAACUAUAUAUUCUAGUUUUGGUAGAAUUGGAUCACCUUGUGUGUUAUAUUGGAUGAGAUUCUUCUGUUUACUCAAAUAUCCUAGGUGUAGACUUUUCAAAUUGCACAAUAAUUUCACGAUAUCUUGUUCUAUCACUGAAGAAAUUUCUUGUGUGGCGCAAUUGUCGAAAUCACACAUAAACAAUGCUUUUGUUUUCUCAAUCAAAAGUACUUGUGACCAUUUUGCAAAAUUGCUUAACUGAACAUAAGGAAGGACUAACAUAUUUGAACUCCAAACUCUUGGCCCAUCAUAGGACCUAAUAUAUCUAAUGGAAAAGUAUUCAACUGAUGGGAUAACGAGACUUGGUGCAUAUUCACGAGAAAAGAUAGUUUUAUCAUCUAUAUCAAUAUGAAGUGAGUAUAAAUUUUCCAAAUCUUUUAGCUCCUCAAAUGCCACAUAGUCACCAUCUUCUUGAUUGUAAGCUUUCCAUUUGCUGUAGCUCCCUUGCAUGUAUAAUUCUUCUAAUGUGUCUCUUAGAAUCGAAAAAACUUUCGGUCUUAUGAUAUCUAUCACGGUGUUUGAAAAAUCAAUCGAUCUAAGAUGAAUAAGCUUUUUACUAAACUCCUGAUUUAGCUCUGAGAUGUGUACAUUCUGCAAGCAAAGAACUGAAAGAUGUUGCAAGAAGAAAAGGUCUGUUGUAUCGACUGUGAUAUUUUGAUGAAGGGUUUCGAACAUUAGAACACGAAGCUUCGCUAGUUUCUGAAGGCAUGUUUCAGUGAAUUCUUUUAUAGAUAUCGAUGUUCCCCUCAGGUCCAAGAACAAUAAAUUUGCCAUCCCUUUAAAGAAAUCAGGAGGAAUGCUUUCCAAUAUCUUGUUACUAUUGAAUGAUAAAAACUGCACUUCACUACGUAGUUGAUCUGUUAAAUUUAAAUUUUGAAUAGAAGUGAUGAACUUUUUGAUAUUGAAGAAACCUUCGAAUUCAUUCUCCGCAAUAGAAAUAGCUACAUCCCGAAUAACAUCAUGCAUCCUCGCUGAAUUUUUCUUGUCUUCUUUUUCUUCUACAACAUCUUGUAAUAACCCUUUCCUCUUCAAACUUAUAAAUAUAUCACGAUAAGUAUUCAAUGCUCUUUGUCCACGAUAAGUAUUCAAUGCUCUUUGUCCUCUAUCUUUCCUUACACACUUAUCUGCUGGUCCAAUGUCAUAGCAAAUAAAAUCUCUCAAUUGAAUUUCUUGACCUUGAGGAAAUAAGCUACAUAGUAGGAAACCCAUCUUCAAAUCAUCUUCUUCUAGGUCUUCAUAACUAAACUUCAGUGGAACGUACACAUCUUUCACAAAAUUAGACACUUUUUGAGGACAACCUUCACUUAGAAAAUUUAAACUUAUUCCAUUUAAUCUCUUCUUCUCCACGAAGUGUUUUUGCAACAACUGAUAUCGCUAAAGGUAGCCCUGCACACUUUCUACAUAUUUCUUGCGCUAUAUGGUUUAUUCUAAGAUGAUUAGGGUUAUUAUUAUCAUCAAUAUAGGAAUAUUUUCUGAAGAACUUCCAAGAUUCAGUUUCAUCAAGUCUUGCAUUCAUCUUGAUCUGUUCGGCCCCCAAUCUCCGACAAAUAUCUUGGUCUCUGGUUGUCAGAACAAUCUGACAACGUAGAUUUUCAUCAUUAAUGUCGAUACCGAUAUCAGUAAAGUUUAGAUCAUCCCUUACAUCAUCGAAUAUAAUCAAACUUACAAUUCUUUUCAAAUGAUAUGAAAUUAUUCCUGCUCUGACACGGAUCUCAUCUUUAGUCUUGAAUUCUUUUAACUCUUUAGUGGAGUAAAAACUACGAGCGAUAUUAUUUUGGAUGGUCUUGGUAUCAUUGUGUGAUACUGUUACCCAAAUAACAAAAAUGUUACCCCUUUGUCCCAUUUCAUUG
RNAcentral lists this long non-coding RNA (83462 nucleotides) under Zostera marina. RNAcentral's name for it is "long non-coding RNA (ZMAR_LNC000917)". Lineage: Eukaryota; Viridiplantae; Streptophyta; Magnoliopsida; Alismatales; Zosteraceae. The record is from RNAcentral.